This 59744-nucleotide long non-coding RNA is filed under the name Sorghum bicolor (sorghum). Its description in RNAcentral is "long non-coding RNA (SBIC_LNC004704)". The stretch from base 2535 to 2641 matches the Rfam family "Plant small nucleolar RNA R71". Lineage: Eukaryota; Viridiplantae; Streptophyta; Magnoliopsida; Poales; Poaceae. The record is from RNAcentral.
GGGUGCUCUCCCCCAAGCUGAAUUUUGACGUAAUUUCUCUUGAUGUAGCUAGCAGGUGGCAGAGGUGUAUUUGAAAGCAGCAUUCUGACAGCGAUUAGAAUGUCCUCUGUCUGCUAGUCUUCUUGAUUCUUAAAUUCUGUGGAGCUCAAAUAGACAACAAAGCUUGUGGAACUGAUUAAGUGUUAGCAUAAAUAUCUAGCCUUUAUCAUCUUGAGACUCCUUAAUUAUUACUCCCUGUUUUUAUAUUUUUAUUUUUAUUUUUAUAAAGCAGAAAAAAUAUUUAUUUUAUUUUUAUGCCACCAUAGUGAAUGUACGUAUGGGUUUUAUGCCACUCGUCUAUUCACAUGGGGCUUACUAUUUUUCACAUUUUUAUUUUCUUUUAUUUUUAAGAUAGUAUGAGCAUGUUUAACUAAGUAAACUAUUUAAAAUAACUGAAAGGGAAAGGAUAACUACCAAGUUUACCUCUUGGCAAGGCGUUCGGUGUUUUUAAGUCCUCCGAACGGGACUCUCCAAUUUCUUAAUCGUCCUGAGGUUCGUUGGGUGGCGUAGUCGGUACUUCCGGCAGCGCCUCCUCUUCUUGUAUAGUUAUCUUCAUUUUCCACACCUGACUCGGUGCUUCGAUCUCCUCUGGAUAAUUCUGUUUAAACUCUACGUCUUCUGACCUUACAACUUCUCCUUCAUAGUCUGCCCAUCCGUCCUUGAUGAUCUGCCUCCUCUGGUUGCGGUUGCGUCUCUUUCUGACCUGCUUAGAUUCUUCAACAAUAUAGUUAGGGUCAGUAAAAUAACGGCGUACCUUCUCUGAGAGGAAGUGCAUAUGGACUUCUCCGGUUCCAAUGUAGAUAAUGGCUUUAACGGUGCUGAGGAACGGUCUUCCAAGGAUGAUGGGUGGAUCAUACUCGUCUUCUCCCAUGUCAACAACUUGAAAGUCUGUGUAGACAAAGUGAUCGUCUAUUUUGACUGGGACAUCAGAUACUAUUCCUUGAACUUCUCGAAAUGUCUGAUCUGCCAUCUGGAGCUGAAUGUAUGUUGGUCUUAGUGGCAUGGUCCCGAACAAGAGCCGAUAGGUGACUGCGGCCAUUAUGUUGACGCCCGAUCCGGUGUCACAAAUUGUCUUGUAGAAGUUGUAUCUAUUUAUGGAGUAGUAAAUGCUUGGCAUUCCUGGGUCGUCCUUCUUGGUCAAGCACGGUGACUUAAGUUGGUGAUCUUGGCCUCCAUGGACUACAGUGACCAUCUGAGCUGACUCGGUCCACACUUGCUUGUUCCUGUUCCUCCUGUUGGUCCUCUUCCUUGAUUGAUGUCUGGAUUGAUUUGGAAUUUGUGUAGUCUUGUUUUUGAAGAAAAAUGUCUCCUUCUUCCCUUUGACGUAGAAACUGAUCUUGGCAGCACUGGCGUAGAUGAUAGCUCCCGUGGUGUUCAAAAAUGGCCUCCCUAGGAUGAUAGGUGCUCUCUCAUCAUUUCCGGUCUCUACCACUACGAAGUCUGCUGGUGCAUACAAGGUACCAACUUGGAUACAAAGGUUCCUCACUAUUCCUUUUGGGAAAGUUAUCGUCUGAUCUGCAAACUGCAAACACAUGGUUGUCUCUAGUAAAGGAUAUGUAAAGAAUUUUUCAUAGAUUACCCUGGGUAUAAUGUUGACACUGGAGCCAAAGUCACAGAGUGCUUCUGGGAAGUCCACCAUGCCGAUGGAGAUCAGGAUGACGGGGCGUCCUGGAUCGCCUCUCUUGACCGGCAGACGGUCAGUAGAAAAUUCAUUGACGGGGUUACUCCAAUUACCUGCAUCAAACACGUCUACAAGAUUUGCAGAUUCUAAUCCUUCCGGUUGUGAUGGUAUACCGGGGUUAGUAGUAGGAACAGCAGCAGCUAUCUGAUUUAACUGAGAUUCAAUCAUUUUAUUAAAGCUAAUUUGAUUCUUGAUGGCAGUAGAAAAAUUAUCCAUUCUAUUAUUUAUAUUUUCUAGCAUUUUAUCAUUAGAUGCCAAUUUCUUAGAUAGAUUAUCCAUUAGCUUUCCUUGAUUAGACACUAACUCUCUCAAAGGUGGAAAAUUAUUAUUGUUGUUGUAAGAAUUGUUACCUUGAUAAUUACCUGAGUAGUUAGGCCUCUGUUGAUUCCAACCUUGAUUUUGUUGAGGACGGUUGUAGUAGUUGUUGUUGUUGAUGUAGUUCACAUCCUCAAGUAUCUCAGGGCAGUGGUUGCCUGAGUGUCCAGUGUCUCCACACUCCUCACAAGUCAUGUGAGAGUCGUAGAUGUGCAUAACUUCUUUCUUGUCUCCAGCUUUAUCAUCGAGCUUCUUCAUGAGCAGGUCUAGCUUUGCAGACAGCAUGUCUACCUCCUUCAGCUGAUGCAUACCUCCACCUCUCUUGCGUGUCUGGGUCCUCUCUUCAUUCCAGCUUUGAUUGGACGCCAUCUUCUCCACAAGAGCUGUGGCUUGUGGUAUAGUAAGUGAUAAGAAUGCUCCUCCAGCUGCAGCAUCCAUGGUCUCUCGGGCACUGUUGUUGAGCCCAUGAUAGAAUGUCUGCAUCAAUAGCCAACUCUCCAUUCCAUGAUGGGGACAUUCUAGGAUGUAGUCUUGAAAGCGCUCCCAUGCUUCUGGAACAGAUUCAUCAUUUUGUUGCUGAAAACUUGUAAUCUUCCCACGGAGAGCAUUGGUCUUGCCCAUGGGAAAGAACUUAGCCAGGAAGUUUGUUGAGCAGAGUGCCCACGUAGUAUUCUUCUCCUUUGUAGCGUAGAACCACUGCUUCGCUCUUCCUAACAGUGAGAAUGAGAAGAGGCGAAGUAAUAUAGCGUCUUUGGAAACUCCUGCUAUGGUGAAUGUGUUGCAAAUCUCCAGGAAGUGUUGUAAAUGAGCACUAGCAUCUUCAUGUGCCUUCCCACAGAACUGGUUGGAUUGCACCAUGUUGAUAAGUCCAGGCUUGAGCUCAAAGUUGCCAUCGAUCUCUGCAACAGGUCCAGUGCGGAUGUUGUCCGUAGUGGGAGCUGAGAACUCGCGGAUCGAUUUGUUCGCCAUGGCUUCGAACUCUGAAGACAAGUUUCGGUGAUCUUCUUGAUUGGAUGAAGCUUCUUGCUGAAGUGUUGAUGAUUUCUUUAGCUUGGCCCUCGUCUUCUUGAAUAAUGCUUCAGGAUCGUCAACAAAAUUCCCUGGAAGAUGUCUUCUAUUCAUACAUUCCCCUGCAUAAGAUAAAAUAGAAAAAUAUCGGGGUAAAACUGUAUGAGAGAAUAGAUAAGCUCAAUCAUAUUAGUGAUGCGAAUGAUAUCUCAAAAUCUUUUAUUCCAUUCCUGAUUGGUAAUCAACCUUCCCCGGCAACGGCGCCAAAAAUGCUUGUUGGGUAUUCUUAACAUCAUUACCAAAAGUAGACUAAGUUCUAAAUCUAGCAACGGUGCCAAAAAUGCCAAACCUAUCCCUCACACCACUUAAGCCAAGUUGUCAUCCCCAGCAUGACAUAAGAGACGCGGUAUUGAAAUAUGCAAUUGCUCUUCUAAAUAAAUAAUGAAAGGAAUCUGCAAGUGCACAGAUUAAUACCGAUGCAGCAUUUUAACCGGGAAGUAUUCCAGGUAUCGUUAUUUAUAUUUUUACCACUGGGAAGGGAUUAAUCAAUCAUCACUAUUGAUUACAGAAUAGAAUAUGAGAUUGAGUAUCUAUCAUUGCAUGUAUAAUUGAGAACAUUAUAUCUAACUCUUCGUACAGGGAUAAGUGUCACAUAAAAGAUAUAUGAAAUGAAAAUAGUGACAAGGAUAACUAAUCUGAUCUAGCCACAUAAUAAAUAUGAUAAGCUCCUCAAUUAGAUACUCUAGAAAGUCAUUAGCAUGGUAUUAGAACGAACUACAAGAAUAUUCCCUAAGUUAUUCUUAACUAUAUAGUCUAGCAUAUCAUAGUUAGUGCAAGCAUACUUAGCAAUCAUUGCGAGACAAGACUACGCCCAUGCAUAGUGAUAUUAGCAAGGAAUAUGAGAAACAUAGCAAUCACUCCCCUGUAAUAAUGUUGCUCUGCCAGCCCAAUACACGAGAGGGGGACUAUAUAAGAAUCAAUGAAGCUGUCACUAUCACGAACUACCCCACGAUCUGGCAUAUUGGGUACAAUCGCAGAUAAAUACGGUAUAAGCACCACGCCUACACAAUAUCUAUCAUUUAUCCAUGGAUCCGAUGGAUAAACGCUAUACGAUCCUAAGCAUGUAUAUAGAUCGUAUCUAACUAAGCCAAGUACAUAACUAUGAUAAACUAAGAACAAUAUAAUCUUGAAUAUAAGCAAGUAGAGCAAAGUCAUAAGCAAUAUAUUGAAGUAGAACAAAGUCAUAUUCAUAAUAUUGAAGAACAAAGAUAAUUAGAAAGCAAUUAGAAGCACAAUUAGAAGAUUACCAAGAAUCCUCCUGACAGAUCCGGAAACCAAUCGAAGAUUGACUCCUUCUAGUUCUAAUCCUAUGUAGCUAUGCUAAUCUAGAUAUCUAAUUGAUGUGGUGGCUCUAAUCUUGAUCAGAGGCUUCUUCUCCCUUGAUGGAACAAUGAAUUAGGGUUGAGAGGCUCCCUCCUCCAGGGGCCAGGGGGUCUGGUUUUAUAGUCCCUUCAAGUGAAUAUGGGCCCUUGGAUCAAACCGACAUAGAUUGUAUGGUUUAGAUUCAUCCUUUAGGUCGGUGGAGACUUCCCGCAAAGCAGAGUCCUGAUUGGACUCCAGAGGUGGGCGGGCGCCCUGACCAACUGGGCGGCCGCCCAGGGUCUGGCCCCGUUUCGCCUCCGCUUCGGUCUCGUGGCUUCUGGAGUCUUCUAGAUGUAAGAUAAUUGCGCAGCACGUUAAUAUCUUUACGUAAUCCUGACAUGUAGGCCUUUCUUCCAUAUUUCCUGAUAACCCCCUGCAGAAAUAGACAAACACCAAAAACUCGUGGAAUUCUGUCAGAUAAAACCCUAAGUCUAGAUCUUUAUUUCAUUUGGAUCCUUUUCUUUGUUUAUUUGUUAAUUAAAUUUGAUACUUAAGGACCGUCAACAAGGGUUCGUCUCGCUACUGCGGACUGCAGUUGCAGGCGCAAGAGCAGCCAACUGGGGAAUCGAGAUUUCUUCUUUUUUCGGCGAAGCCCAUACGGCUGGGCCUGGUACUGGGGAACGAAGGCAACCUUCAGAAUUGGGCCUAGAUUGGCUCACCAGGCACACAAAUGGGGCGUCUGAACACUCGUAAUUUUUUUACAAGACAACUCAAAUCAUUUUUCGAUUGUGAUCAUACUACUCAAACCAAGAUAUGUGGUCUCAUGUAAACUAAGGGGAAAAUUUCCCAAAUCUAAAUCUAACUGAAAGUGGACAAGUAAAAUCCAUUUUCAUCUUCUACGAGCAAUGCAUGAUGAUGUGAACUUCCAAAACUUCAGUCUACAGAAAAAUAAGGCUGAACAUGCAUGAACUACGAUCGACCAGUGGAUUCCCGUGAAAAAAGAAGAAAUGGACGUAUGGACGGGGAUUGGGUUCGCACAUAGAGCACCAGUUAGACGUAGUGCGCAAAUCGCAGUGCUAGAGAAAUGUUCGGGUUCAAUUGAGACUGAGUAAUCAAUCAAUCAGGGCACAAGGACUGAACCAUUGCAACAAAACUCAUAAAUGAAUCGCACAUGUACUGCAUGACAUACAUCUACCAAAUCAAGAUCAGAUCCAAGUCCAAGUUCAUGUUCAGUUGCUAGACAUCGACUGCAACUAUUAUUACAUCAGUUUCAAUUGCAAUAUGCUUUUCAAGAAGACAGGUGGACUGUGGGCUGUGGCUUCACAAUUUAUUUGAUGGAAGGAACGUCCAGUCCUUUUCUUUCUUCCUUCUCUUUAUGUUUGGCUUUUCAGUUGCUUCCUCAAUGCAUCCUUUGAUGAUAGCCGGUAAUUCUGGUUUGAUUGUUAUACAUGUUAAAAUGUAUGCCAGAAGUUGGCUUUGGUAUAUUAUCAUCAUCUCCUUCCCAGGAGAACCUUGCAAACAGAUCAACGUAUUCCCAAGUCAAUAGCCAGUUGUAUAGUGGCUACAUUUUCCAAAUAGAUCAACAUAUUCCUAAAAUCAACAUAGUUUGUGGAUGAAGGUACACCCAAGUCAACAUUUGGUUUACAGUUUAGGGCAGAAGGUACACUAACCCUAUAGUCUCUCAGCAGUUUCAUUUUAUUUUUAUCACCAAGUUUGUGGAUGAAGUUUAUGACAGCAACACUGUCAAGCAACUUGGGUGAAUCGUAGGUCAGUCGUGCCACGCUUGUGCUAUCAGUAAACCUGACUUUUGCUUUGCCAAAAGCAGCACCGACCAACUUACAAAUGUUCCUGGCCAAAUUAUAUAUGUCACCUGCAGCAUCCGAAGAAGAGUCGAAAAAGGCUAAGAUACUGCAUGUGCCUCCAGGUACAACUUCCAGGCAAAACCCAACCCCUUUUUUGCAGAGGACAGUCCCAAAUACCUGCAAACACAAACAUUAUCACUGCCCCUAAAGCCUAAAACAAACAUGUAAUAAAAUGCUGCAGAACUUACAUAAGUCACGUUUCGGCAAUUGUCGGGGAGCGCAGAUACAAUUACAUCAUUAGUGUAGAACUGGUGGGAAAAGGAUAUUGGACUCAUCAGUGGUGAGAGAAGGUACUAUAUUUUCUCAAGGGAUACAAUAUUUUCUAUAGAAUACUUACUUGAUUCACUGCUGGGAGAAGGAUAUUGCAUUGGCCAACCUCCUCCUUGAAGAAUUUUACAAAUCGGCUGAGAAGGUUGAAGGCAUCUUCACCUCUGACCUCUAAGGACAUCUUAAGUUGGGCUCUCGUUAGUGCUAUAUCAUCACAUCUGACUAUUAGCUCCUCAAUUCUUCAAAUUGAAACAUGACUUCAGUCAAAAAAAUCUGCAACUAUCCAGAAAACAUCAGGUAAGUCAAUAUAAGUUCUACAACUCCAGAAAACUUACUUUUUCACAUAUUUAUAAAUCAACAGAGCCACUUCUUCAAGUGCAUAGUUCUAUAUUAUAUGAACCUCACUUGGGGCAUGCGCUUGCCACCUCUUAUGACCUGUACUUAAGAUCUCGGAUGGGGAUAGGUUAGGAAGCCUCUUCCGCUUCUUUUGUCCCGCUGCUGUUGUCACUUCGUCAUGAUUGUCCUCAGACUCCCCUUUAAACUCCUCUUGGCGAGGGUGCUUAUUAAUCUUUGCUGGUGUAACCUCCUUAUGCUUGUCCUCAGACUCACUAUGGGAGGGCUCCUCACAGCUGCCUCGGCCAGUCCUGUCCACCUCACGCUACCUGCCAGUCUCCUCAUUGCCACUGCUGCCAUCAUCCUCCUCAUUUCCACUGCUGCCACCAUCCUCACCGUCAUUAACGCCCUCCUCAUCCUCCAUUCCUUCAUUGGUGUCAAUGCCUUUCUGGGUCUCGGCCUCAUGCUCCUGACCGGCCUUGGCCUCAUUCUCAUCAUCCUCCUCAGCCUUGCCGUCUUCCUUGGGCUCCUUAGCAUGUUCCUCAAUGAUGGCAUCAGAUUUACGGCCUUGACUGUUGUCAUCCUCCUCAGCCUUGCCGCCUUUCUUGGGCUCCUUAGCAUUUUCCUCAAUGAUGGCAUCCCCCUCCCCAGUCCCAAGUUGACUCUUUCUGCCAUCAACUCCUGCUCCCCCUUUUACUGAAAUAGAGUGACAGCAAUGUAAAAAGGUACAUUAUUAAAGCAUAGCAACAUAAUAAACAGGAACAUACUUUGUUUACUAUUCGUUAGUAAUAAGUAGUUAGAAACUAGGAUCAUGAAUUAUUGGCUAAAUAAGAGAAAUGAAAUGGCAUCAUUCUAAGCUAAGUAAGACCUGAAAAAAUAGUGCCACCAUGGUAAAAAGACACGCUGUUAGAAAACAUCAUUGGGGUCUGUACCUCUUUUCACCCUCAUUGCAUUCCAUCAUAUCCUUGUUGCUAGUCUCCAAUAGCUCAGUUUUAUCCUUGUUGCUAAUCUACUGUAAAGGGUCCUUCGCCUGGGUCUCCACAAUGUCAUCCUGGCUACUGGCAGCAGAAAUAUAAACUACUUAGGAUCAUGAAUUCUGGUCUAAAAAGACACACUGUUAGAAAACACCAUUCGGGUGUAAAGGCAAUAAAGUUUGUACCUCUUUUCAACUUCAUUGUGUUCGUCAUAUCCUUGUUGCUGAUCUCCUACAGCUUAGGAGGUUCACCCGCACUCUAGAAUCCCAUCCUCUUUCACGGCAUCGACUCCUGCUCCCUCCUUUUUACUGAAAUAGAGUGACAGUAGUGUAAAAAGGUACAUUAUUAAAGCACAACAACAUAAUAAACAGGAACAUACUUUGUUUACUGUUCAUUAGUAAUAACUGGUUAGAAACUAGGAUCAUGAAUUCUUGGCUAAAUAAGAUAAUUGAAAUGGCAUCGUUCUAAGCUAAGUAAGACCUAAAAAAAUAGUGCCACCAUGGUAAAAAGACACACUGUUAGAAAACACCAUUUGGGUCUGUACCUCUUUUCACCCUCAUUGCAUUCCAUCAUAUCCUUGUUGCUGGUCUCCAACAGCUCAGUUUUAUCCUCAUUUCUAGUCUCCUCAAAAGGGUCAUUCGUCUGGGUCUCCACAACAUCAUCCUGGCUACUGGCAGCAGAAAGAUAAACUACUUAGUUUACUGUUCGUUAGUAAUAACUGGUUAGAAACUAGGAUCAUGAAUUCUUGACUAAAUAAGAGAAAUGAAAUGGCAUCGUUCUAAGCUAAGUAAGACCUAAAAAAAUAGUGCCACCAUGGUUAAAAGACACACUGUUAGAAAACCCCAUUGGGGUCUGUACCUCUUUUCACCCUCAUUGCAUCCCAUCAUAUCCUUGUUGCUGGUCUCUAACAGCUCAGUUUUAUCCUCAUUGCUAGUCUCCUGAAAAGGGUCCUUUGCCUAGGUCUCCACAACGUCAUCCUGGCUACUGGCAGUAGAAAGAUAAACUACUUAGGAUCAUGAAUUCUUGGCUAAAAAGACACACUGUUAGAAAACACCAUUGGGGUGUAAAGGCAAUAUUGUCUGUACCUCUUUUCAACUUCAUUGUGAUCCAUCAUAUCCUUGUUGCUGGCAUCCAACAGCUUAGGAGGUUCACCGCACUCUGGAAUCUCAUCCUCUUUAACGGCAUCAGCUCCUGCUCCCUCCUUUUUAGUGAAAUAGAGUGACAGUAGUGUAAAAAGGUACAUUAUUAAAGCACAGCAACAUAAUAAACAGAAACAUACUUUGUUUGCUGAUCGUUAGUAAUAACUGGUUAGAAACUAGGAGCAUUAAUUCUUGGCUAAAUAAGAGAAAUGAAAUGGCAUCGUUCUAAGCUAAGUAAGACCUAAAAAAUAGUGCCACCAUGGUAAAAAGACACACUGUUAGAAAACACCAUUGGGGACUGUACCUCUUUUCACCCUCAUUGUAUUUCAUCAUAUCAUUGUUGUUGGUCUCCAACAGCUCAGUUUUAUCCUCGUUGCCAAGGGUCCUUCGCCUGGGUCUCCACAACGUCAUCCUGGCUACUGGCAGCAGAAAGAUAAACUACUUAGGAUCAUGAAUUCUUGGCUGAAAAGACACACUGUUAGAAAACACCAUUGGGGUAUAAAGGCAAUACUGUCUAUACCUCUUUUCAACUUCAUUGUGUUCCAUCAUAUCCUUGUUGCUGGUCUCCAACAGCUUAGGAGGUUCACCGCACUCUGGAAUCUCAUCCUCUUUCACGGCAUCCUCGUUGCAGUAGCAUGUGUUUUCCCAGUCUGUUAACUGAAAAAGGAAAUAUAUAUCUUAUGCUAUGUUAUGUUAUGUUAUGCUAUGCUAUGCUAUGCUAUACUAUCCUAUGUUAUGUUAUGACAAUGGGAGACAAAUUUGCGGAACUUACUUCAAUGGUUUUUAAAAACUCUUCGUCUUUAGAAUUCUCUGUCAGAGUGUCGAUCAGAUCACAACUGCAUUUGUAGAUUCUUGGGAUGAGCAGCUUGCUACGUGUCGAGUCACCUGCCAACCCAGCAGGAUACUUGACACUGUCUAACCAAACAAUCUGUGGAAGAUGAACAAAAUUCAGAAUAUAGUAGGAAAUGAACACAUUUCAGAAUAGAGGACAUCAUGGCAAAUAGAUAAGUUGUCUAUAAACAGCAUUAUAAAUAGGAACAUACAUUGUCUGUAAACAAUGGUUACUUCAAAUAGGAACAUACGAGUAAAAGCAGUACAUGAGUAAAAGCAAUACAUUAGGGUGUACCAUUGGGAGUAGUAAGCAGCCAUUCGCAUAAUCUGAUUCUUCACGUUGCCAGGCCAAAAUACCCUACUGCAAACGGUUGAAGAUUAAACCAGACCAGACAAUGGUCUUUAGAUGCUCAAGGUCAUGAGCUGCUUUUAUCACCUCUACAGAUGCAUGGCUGCUGGUGCUUGGUAUCAGCAGCUUGCUGAACAACACUAUUAAAAAAGGCUUGGCUACCAUGGUGGCAUCAACUUUUCCACCAAACUGUGGAUCAUCCGCAUGCCUAAGCACAGCUCGAAUAACAGAUGGUACGAACAAUUUUCUUUUAUCACUCAUUUUACUGACAGCAUGAACUGUUUUAAGAGGUCGUACUUUCACCUCCUCCUCCCCCUCAAGCUCCUCCUCUAGCUCCUCGUCGUCCCCGUCCUCUGGCACCUCCUAAGGCACCUCCUCUUGCUCCUCCUCAUCCAAGUCAACCUCCUCCUCCGCUAAAUACCAGUCAACCUCCUCCUCCUUUAAAUCCCAGUUAUUGUCAACAUCAAUCUUCAAAAGAUUAAACAUUUCCAUGAAUGCAUCAUUAUGUAGUUUGGUGAGCGUGAGCUUGCUGCCACCCCGCGUGGGCUUGCUGACACCCCACGUGGCCUUGCUGCUCCCUUCUUCAUGUGUGGGCUUGCUACCACGCCCGCCACGCCCACACCCACGCCCAUGCCCGCCACGCCCGCUGCGCGUGGACUUGGUGACACCCUUGGGCUUGAGAUCCAAAAUGGUGCCAUUUGGGUUACCAACACAUAAAAUAUGUCGUACACCAGAUUUUGUGAGUUCCAAUGUCUUAUUGUCCAUGGUCCAUUUAAUCACUUUUUUGUCCUCGGCUUGCGCAGUUUUCACUACAUAAUCUAUAAACUUCUGCUCGUAAGUUUGUCAGGCAAAUGGCACAACAUAUGGCUGAAAAAGUGAUCUUUUAACAAUGACUUUGCAGCAUUUGGCAGCAGCAUAGCUGUUUUGGAAACAUAAACUGAACAACAGCGUGUUUUCACUUCAUGAGGGCCUGUCAUUAGUGCAAAACAAAUAAAUUAGUGACACUAGUGUAAGAAGGUACACUGUCAAAACACAGUAAAUCUGCAACAUAGUAUCAAAGAAUAGAGAACAUCAAUACCAAACAAAGAAGAAAGUGCGUGUUAAUUCUAUAUCAUAUGGAAAAUAUACAUGAGAUUUUGAAAUGCAGAUCAAUACAAGCUUAUAUAUAUAUUUUUGGGUUUUUUGGCUCUUUUGGUGCCUUCUUUGGUGCCCGAAUCAUUGUCAUUAGUGCAAAACAAAUAAUUUAGUGACACUAGUGUAAGAAUGUACAUUGUGAAAACAUAGUAAAUCUGCAACAUAGUAUGAAACAAUAGAGGACAUCAAUACCAGACAAAGAAAGUGCGUGUUAAUCUAUAACUCUUAUAAAGCUAAACCCCACUAGAUGAAUUCUCUCUUCAUGCAAGGUGUCCACAUCAUUCCCCACUAAGUGACCCACUAAAUAUUCUAUCUCUUCAUGCAAAGUGUCCACAUCAUUCCCCACUAAGUCCAUAUCAUCCCAUAUUAAUAGAUUAAAGUAUUUCAUAUGAAAUACUUUAAAAUUUUAACCUAUUAAUAUACAACUCAUGUACAUACACUCUUUGUUUCAUAACCAAUUAAUUCAUCUAUAAUGUAACCAAAUAUUAGUUUUUGUUCUAUUAGCUUAGCAAUUUAUUACUAGAUCUAAUACAAUAAAAUACAUGCAAGUCAAAUUCAUAUGUAUACAUACAUAAUAGAUUGAAUACCAUAUAGUAGUGCUAUGUAUAUAAUGAUUUAUUUUAAGAAAAUCCCGCAGCAACGCGCGGAGAAUUCACCUAGUUCUAUAUUAUAUAUAUACCUUUUUUGGUGCCUUCUUUGAUGCUUGAAUCAUUUUGCAUGUUAGGGGGUCUCCCUUUUUGGGCUGCGCCUGUCACCAGUGCAAAACAAAUGUUAAAACACAGUAAAUCUGCAACAUAGUAUGAAAGAGUAGAGGACAUAUACCAGACAAAGAAGAAAGUGUGUGUUAAUUCUAUAUUACAUGGAAAAUAUACAUGAGAUUUUGAAAUAUAUAUACCUUCUUUGGUGCCUGAAUCAUUUUGCGUGUUAGGGGGUCUCCCUUUUUGGGCUGCACCUGUCACCAGUGCAAAACAAAUAAAAUAGCAACACCAAAAUGUAGCUUUUUGAAGAUAUGUUUCACUAGACAAACGAAUGUUCCUUUUAGUUACAUGUUGAUUUUCAAUAUAUGUUGCUUUUAGUUAAAUGUUGCGUUAUACACAAAUAUGUUGCUUUUAAAUGAUCAACUAAGAUUUAAAGUAUAACUUCUUCGGUCUCUUUUGCCAUGAACCCUUAUUCGGUCUCUUGUGCCAUGAUCCCAGAGAGCACCUGCAGCUUUUGCUCUGAGGAUCUUCAAGACCACGACCUGCAAACCAGAUGGUCAAGUUCCAAUCUGCUGGCUUAGGGAACUAGGGUUAAUGGCGUUUAGGGUUUAGGGUUUAGGGUUUAGGGGAAGGGUUAGCCCAGCGCGGCAGCAGCCGAACCAGCGAUGUCCGGCGAGCAGAAGGAGAAGGGGAAGACCAGCGCGGCAGCAACAGAACAAACGAUGUCCGACGUCGAGCAGCAGCAGGUCCGGCGAGAUAGAAAUCAUACCUUCGGUUACUCAAACUUGGGAAGCGCGGCGAGGCUCGAAGUCAGGAAGCGCGGCGAGGGGAAGGGGAAGGCCGCGGUUAGGAAGCGCGACGGCGCUGAAGGGGAAGGCCCCGGUGUAGAUUUUUACACGCGGUGUUGAGGAUGCCCCUGUGUUGAGUUUAUACGCGGUGUUGAGGAAGGGGAAGAAUCCAGAACACGACCCUUUUUGCAUCGGGACGCUGAAGUGUAUUAAUUGUAGACCAUUGACUGUUGACAAAGCUCAGGAACGCGGAACGCCAUGCUGUAGAUUUCUCACUAUACCACUGACUGUUAACUCUAAUAACGAUGUGUUGAUUUGUUCAGAAAAUGCUACAUUAGUGCUAUGUUGAUCUAUGUAAAAAAUGCAGCUUUUUGGUUGGUUUAACUGUGCAACCAAAUGUUGACUUAAAUAUUGAUGUGUUGCGUUUAGAAAUAUGUUGAUCUGUAUACACAAAUAUGUUGCUUUUAGAGAUUUUUUACAAAUAGCUUUUAGAGAUUUUUUAUAGAGAUUGGAAGAGCAUCUAGGCCCCUAGUGAUUUCGGUGAUUAAUGACAUCAUGCUUACUAUGACUAACGUGUGUUUUGCAGAGGCAAAGUCAUAGGUAAGGUCAUGGUUUAUAGGUACUCGAUGGACAAGGACGUACAUGCCUACUUAAUAGUGGAAAUCGUUUCGGUUUUUAAAGGAUGGAUGGACAUCGUCAAGACUAGACUAGGUCUAAGUGCCAUAUGGUGUAGAAGGGCACUUAGAGUAGUUUAGAACUUUGUUUUCCUUUGACCGUACUAUUAAGAGGGGCUUUGAUCUAGUAGCUUGACUUAGGCAAGGCUUUAGGUUUAGGUGUGGUGCACACUUGGUAAACCUAGCACUAGGCAGCUCAGAGAUAGUCCUUAGAUCGAGAGGAACCAACUUCGUUUUGGAGCGAUCGCGUUUCGACGGAGUUUGGGUGCCCAAAGGGGCACCGGACGCUGCACCGGACACUCUGUGAGUGCGUCCGGUGAGGUCCCUAGCCGUUAGAAUAGUGUGGUGCUUAGGGUUAGGCACCGGACGCUAGCACCGGACGCACCGGGUAGCGUCCGGUCCCUUACCCAGGGAGGUUGCAAGCCUUCCCUGAGCACCGGACGCUAGCACCGGACGCGCCGGGUAGCGUCCGGUCCCAUGCGCAGGGAGCAUGUAAAGUUUUCCCGAGCACCGGACGGUGCACCGGACGCUGGGAGUUAGCGUCCGGUGACCUGUCAAAAAAAAGUGCAGGUAGCCGUUAUCAAGCACCGGACGCUCGGUGCAGUGCGUCCGGUCCAACAUAAUGUGCGUCCGGUGACCCCGUUUUCAGUGGAAAACGGUUAGCCGACCUUUGGACUUCGUGGAUAGUAUUUAUACUCCUCCACCUCGUCCAUGAGAGUUCUCUUGCCCAUUUGAACUUCAGAGAACCUUGUUAUGGAGCAAGAGAGUUGCAAGAGCCUAGAGAGGAUUGAGAUUUGUGUGAUUUCUUGAGAGAAUCCUUCUCUAGUGAGUUCCAAGAGUCAAGUGUGCAUCCACCACUCUCUAGAGCCUUGUUUGGGUCAAGUGAGAGUUCGUUGCUUGUUACUCUUGGUGAUCGCCAUCACCUAGACGGUUUGGUGGUGAUUGAAGGGACAAAGACCGCCCGGAGUUCUUGUGGGUGGCUCGUGUCAAGCUUGUGAGCGGUUUUGGGCGAUUCACCGCGACGGAGUGUCGAAGAAUCAGCCCGUAGAGAGCACUUGGUCCUUGCGCGGACCAAGGGGGAGCAAGACCCUUGCGCGGGUGCUCCAACGAGGACUAGUGGAGAGUGGCGACUCUUCGAUACCUCGGCAAAACAUCACCGAGCAUUUUCUUCCACUACUCCUUUACUUUAGCAUUUACUUUGUGUUUUUACAUUCUUAGAAUUGCCUUUCUAGAAUAGGAUUGGAACUAGGUUGCAAAACUUUUAUCCGGUAGCUCUCUAAGUCACACUAGGCACAAGGGGUUGAAUUGGAGCUUAUAGGUUGCUUAAAUUUUUAGAGAAGCCAAAUUCACCCCCCCUCUUGGGCAUCUUGAUCCUUUCAAUUGGUAUCGGAGCCUAGUGCUCAUUAUUUAGGCUUCACCGCCUAGAGAAAGAUGUCUAACGGGGAUGGACCGCCACCCAUGUUUGAUGGGAAUGACUUCCCGUAUUUGAAAAUACGGAUGGAGUCAUACCUUGAGGCAUGCGAUGUAAAGUGCCUAAAAGCCACGACCGAAGGGUUUGCCCCUCCGGAAAGAGCCACCGCUCUUACUCCACAAGAGCAAGAAAACGAGAAGUGGAAUGCGAAGGCCAAAAACCACAUCUUUAGAGGUCUUUGCAAAGAGGUGUUCAACCGCGUUCGGAGCCACAAAACCGCCAAUGAACUUUGGAAGGAACUUUGUGCGCUCCAUGAGGGAACAAAGAGUGAACGCGAGGAACACUAUCACCUAGUGAUGAACAAGCUUAAUACAUUUGAGAUGCUUCCUAAAGAAAAUGCUAAUGAAAUAUAUUCUCGCUUGAAUGUCAUUGUAGAGGAGCUAAAUGGACUUGGGCUUACACAAAUGAGUACGGCGGAUGUAGCAAGAAAGAUACUAUGUGUACUUCCCAUUGAGAAAUAUGGGCACAUAGUAACCGUGCUUCAUCAAGGCGAUCUUUCCACCGCUACACCAACCACCAUAUUGGGGAAGAUCAAUGCUCAUGAGAUGUACAUGCACAUGAACCCUCAAGAUGGAUCCUCGUCGGCCAAGAAAGAAAAGAAGGACUUGGCUCUCAAAGCUUCUCACAAGGGCAAAGCCAAGAAGAUUGAAGUUGAGUCAUCAACUUCAAGUGAUGAUGAUGCAUCUAUUGCCCUCUUGGUGAGAAGAACCACAAAGAUGUUGAAGAAGCUCAACAAGAAUGGAGUCAACUUUGACUCCAAGAAGAAGUUCUUCACAAGUAGCAAGAGGAAGCCUAUCUCCGAGAUGGAUUGCUACAAUUGUGGUGAACUUGGUCAUCUUGCUCAUCAAUGUCCAAAGCCCAAGAAGGACAAAUACAAGAAGAAAAACAAAGAGCAAGAUGACUCAAGUGAUGAUGAGAAGAAUGACAAGAAGCAAUACAAGAAGAAAGGUGGCAAGAAGAAGGAGCACUACAAGAAGAAAAAUGGCAAGGCUUACAUUGUUGGUGAUUGGCUCACCGACAUUGAGAGCUCAAGUGGUGACUCCUCCGGCAAUGAAAGUGAUGAUGAGAAGGUUGCCACCAUUGCCAUCGAUGCUCCAUCACCAUCAUCUUCACCACCAUCCACAUCUUCAACACACCUAUGCCUUAUGGCCAAAGGUGACCAGAAGGUACAAAGUGAGGAUGAGAGUAGUGAAAGUGAUAGUGAAUAUGAAUCACCUUCUUAUGACGAACUUGUAAAAUUGCUAAACAAGUACACAAAAGUCAUAAGAAAGACUAGAAGUGAGAACGAAAAGCUUGAACUUGAAAAUGAAACACUUCUAGCAAAGCUUAAGUCUAGUGAUGAGCUUAGAGACCAAAAUGAGAUCAUGACCACUAAGCUCAAGGAGCUCAAACUCUCUCUAAAAGAGCUCAAAGAAAAACAUGAUAACCUUGAGAGUGUUCAUGAUGAGCUUAUCACUAGAUAUAGAACAAUGAAAGAAGAGCUAACAACUCUAAAAGCAAACUAUGACAACCUUGAAAUUGCUUAUGAACUUGCAAUUGAAACACAUGUUGCUACUAACAAUGUUGCUAAGCUUGAUGUAGCCACAUCUUGUGAUGAUUUACUUGUGGAGAGCACAAGCAAAUGUGUUAAUUGCAAGGGCAAGAAAGUGGUAGUGGCCGAGAGUUAUGAGGACACUAUCAAGCUCAAGGAUGAAAUUGUCAUGCUCAAGAAAGAGUUGCAAGACCAAGCCAAGCACAAAACUAUAGUGAUUGAGUCACUUGAUCAAGACAAGAAACUUGCAUAUGAGAACAAAUUACUCAAAGAAGAAAAUCAAUAUCUCAAGCUUGGUUUGAUGUAUGACAAGCAAGAAGAAGAUGAAACAUUCAUCUUGGAUGAGUUAGCUAGCAACAAUGACCCAAUCAUCAAGAAGCUAACUCAAGAGAACAACAAGCUCAAGAAAGAGAAGGAACACUUAACCAUGGUGUUAGCCAAGUUCACAAAGGGGAAAGACCUUCAAAGUGAGCUUUUUAUGAACACCGUCAUGAAGAUGGACAAGAGUGGGAUUGGCUACAAGGCUCAUCAAACAAAGCUCAUCAAGUCACUAGCCACUCAUGAUCAACAAAGCAAGCCAAAGCCUAAGAGAUGCUUUGAGUGUGGUCUAGAAGGACACUUUGCUCAUGAGUGUAAGGCACCACUACCACUACCCUUGCCCAAGCAUGCAAGACCAUUUGCUUUCAAUGCUCACUACAUUGUAAGGAAAGACAAGAGUGGCAAGGUCAAGGUUAGCUUCAUGGGGCCACCCAACAAGCAAAGGCCAAAGAAGAUUUGGGUGCCAAAGCAACUAAUAGAGAAGGUCAAGGGCCCUAAGCAAAUGUGGGUCCCUAAAUCUCAAGCUUGAUCUCUUGUGUGUAGGUGAACUACAAGACUGGUGGAUCACAUUGGGUAAUUGAUAGUGGUUGCACUCAACAUAUGACCGGAGAUCCCCGGAUGUUCACCUCUCUUGAUGAAGAUGUUGACAACCAAGAGAAGAUCACAUUUGGUGACAAUUCAAAAGGCAAGGUCAAGGGAUUAGGAAAGGUUGCUAUUUCAAAUGACAACUCCAUCACCAAUGUGCUCUAUGUGCAAUCUUUGAGUUUCAACUUGCUCUCAGUUGGACAACUUUGUGACCUUGGAUUUGAAUGCCUAUUCAAGAAAAAGGAAGUAAUUGUGACCAAGGAAGGUGACAAUGAAGUAAUAUUCAAAGGCUUCCGACACAACAACUUAUAUGUAGUUGAUUUCUCAUCAAAUGAAGUUGAUGUCAAGACUUGCCUAUUCACCAAGACUUCACUUGGGUGGUUGUGGCAUAGAAGGUUAGCACAUGUUGGAAUGGGCACACUCAAGAAGUUGAUGAAGAAAGAAUUGAUUAGAGGUUUGAAGGAUGUGACUUUUGAAAAAGACAAGCUUUGUAGUGCAUGUCAAGCAGGCAAACAACUUGCAAAUACACAUCCAACCAAAGCCUAUCUCUCUACUUCAAGAGUGCUUGAGCUACUACACAUGGAUUUGUUUGGACCAACCACAUAUGCUAGUCUUGGAGGCAACAAAUAUUGCUUGGUCAUAGUUGAUGAUUUCUCCCGGUACACUUGGACAUUCUUCUUGCAAGACAAAGCCGAAGUUGCAUCAAUAUUCAAGAAGUUUGCAAAGAAUGCCCAAAAUCAAUUUGAUGUGAAGAUCAAGAAAAUUAGAAGUGAUAAUGGCAAAGAAUUUGACAACACCAACAUUGAAGAGUAUUGUGAUGAAGUGGGAAUCAAACAUGAGUUCUCCUCAACAUACACACCACAACAAAAUGGGGUUGUAGAAAGAAAGAACAGGACAUUGAUUACCUUGGCAAGAACAAUGCUAGAUGAGUACAACACUUCGGAGAAGAUGUGGGCCGAGGCAAUCAACACCGCAUGCUAUGCUUCAAACCGGCUCUUUCCUCACAAGUUCCUAGAGAAGACACCAUAUGAGUUGCUCAAUGGGAAGAAGCCCGAUGUCUCAUUCUUUAGAGUGUUUGGAUGCAAAUGCUACAUCUACAAGAAGCGCCAACACUUGGGAAAAUUCCAAAGAAGAUGUGACAUUGGCUAUUUGGUUGGCUAUUCAUCAAAGUCCAAGGCAUAUAGGGUCUUUAACCAUGCCACAAACAUGGUUGAAGAAACAUUUGAUGUUGAAUUUGAUGAAACUAAUGGCUCCCAAGGAGCAAGUAAUAACCUUGAUGAUGUAGGUGGAGAACCAUUGAUGGAUGCCAUGAAGAACAUGCCGGUGGGAGACAUCAAGCCUAAAGAAGAUGAUGAUGAUGUGCAAGUCAUUGAACCACCAUCCACCUCACAAGGUCCACAAGAUGAAGACAAGGAUGUGAGAGAUGCCCAUGAAGACACUCAAGUCACUCAUGAGCAAGCGGUGGCACAAGCACAAGAUGUUGAUGCUCCCCAACCAACCCCUCUAGUGGCACCAAGAAGAACAUCACAUCUCCUCCAAGAUCACUCUCAAGAUCUCAUCAUCGGGAGUCCAUCAUGUGGUGUAACUACUCGUUCUAGACAUGCUUUAUUUAUUGAACAUCACGCUUUUGUGUCUCUUGAAGAUGAACCAAAGACUAUAGAGGAAGCUCUUCGUGAUGUGGAUUGGAUCAUGGCCAUGCAAGAGGAGUUGAACAACUUCUCUCGCAACCAAGUAUGGACACUUGAAGAGCGACCCAAAGAUGCAAGAGUGAUUGGAACAAAGUGGGUCUUCCGGAAUAAGAAGGAUGAUCAAGGCAAAGUGGUGCGCAACAAAGCAAGACUUGUGGCUAAAGGCUUUUCACAAGUGGAAGGUCUUGACUUCGGUGAAACCUUUGCACCGGUGGCAAGACUUGAAGCAAUCCGUAUCCUACUUGCAUAUGCAUCUAGUCAUAAUAUCAAGUUAUUUCAAAUGGAUGUGAAAAGUGCCUUUUUAAAUGGUUAUAUUAAUGAGCUUGUCUAUGUUGAGCAACCCCCCGGUUUUGAAGACCCUAGGUGCCCCAAGCAUGUAUACCGUUUGUCCAAGGCUCUCUAUGAUCUCAAGCAAGCUCCUAGAGCUUGGUAUGAGAGGCUUAGGGACUUCAUCAUUGAGAAGGGCUUCAAGAUUGGGAAAGUUGACACAACACUCUUCACCAAGAAAAUGAAUGGGGAAAUCUUCAUUUGCCAAGUUUAUGUUGAUGAUAUUAUCUUUGGUUCUACUAAUGAAGAUUUUUGCAAGGAAUUUGGUGAUUUGAUGUCCAAGGAGUUUGAGAUGUCCAUGAUUGGCGAGCUAUCCUUCUUCCUAGGAUUUCAAGUCAAGCAAAUGAAGGAAGGAGUCUUUAUCUCUCAAGAGAAGUACACUCAAGAUCUUCUCAAGAGGUUCAAGAUGAUGGAUUGCAAGCCAAUCAAGACUCCCAUGGCAUCAAAUGGGCAUCUCGACUUGGAUGAGGGAGGUAACCCAAUUGACAAGACUCUCUAUCGCUCCAUGAUAGGAAGUCUACUCUACCUCACCGCAUCUAGGCCCGAUAUAAUGUUUAGUGUGUGUAUGUGUGCAAGAUAUCAAGCAAUGCCUAUGGAAUCUCACUUGAUUGCGGUCAAGAGAAUUCUUAGGUAUCUAAAAUACACACCUUGCCUAGGCUUGUGGUAUCCCAAAGGUGCAAGAUUCCAACUUGUAGGCUAUUCCGAUUCGGAUUAUGCCGGGUGCCGGAUUGAUAGAAAAAGCACAUCCGGAGGGUGCCACUUCCUAGGUAGAUCACUUGUCUCUUGGAUGUCAAAGAAACAAAAUAGUGUUGCCUUGUCAAUGGCCGAGGCGGAAUACAUAGCCGCCGGUGCUUGUUGUGCACAAAUAUUCUACAUGAAACAAACUUUGCUAGACUAUGAAGUAGUACUAGACAAAGUACCUUUGUUGUGUGACAACGAAAGUGCCGUAAAACUUGCAAACAACCCGGUUCAACACACCCGCACAAAACAUAUUGACAUCCGCCACCACUUCCUUAGGGAUCAUGUUGCUAAAGGUGAUAUAUCCUUAGAGAAUGUGGGAACGGAAAAUCAAUUGGCGGAUAUCUUCACAAAACCCCUAGAUGAAGCUAGGUUUUGUAUGUUGAGAAAUGAACUUAAUGUGCUUGACCUAUCCAACUUCACUAAAAGAUAAAAGUUGUGUGUUGAAUCUUGUAAAUAACUUUUGCUUUGCAUAUAAUGCAUACUAAAACUAAAAAUACAACUUGCAUGUAGGGCUUGUCUAACAUGGUUAAGAUAACCCCCUGAGUGUGUGAAAAACCUUAACCUUGGAUCAAACUUGACAAGCAUUAGUUUACUUUCAAGUGUUGCAUUACAACUCAUAUCAUAUGCAUGCUUGUUAAUUGACUGUUUCUUUUCGGUUAAUCGUUGAGCAUCCGCUGUGUUUGUCCAUAGAUAGGGGGAGCAUUCAAAGCUCAUUAUGAUUCAAACCCCUAGCUUUAUGGCCAUACGAUGCUCCUUGGUGAUUUUCUCGAACUAUCUUCAUAAAAAACUACUAAGCCUAUGGCUAAAUAUUUGUGAAAAUUUGAGGGUUUGAGAGAAGUCACUCAUACCAGUUCCAUUUGCUGUUUAUUUGUGUGCUUUUGGAAAUGGAACUUGGUUGGGUCAAAGUUGGGCGUAGUGCUUCGUUGAAAAAGUGCUCAGAGGAGCACCGGAUGAUGCACCAGACGCUGCCUCUGUGUGUCCGGUGCGGUGAGUGUGCCAGACUGCACUCACCGGACGCAGGAACAGUAUCCCUGCAGCGUCCGGUGCUCACCAGGCGUAACCCGAAGCACCGGACGCUAAAGCCAGCGUCCGGUGCCCAUCGUCCGGUGCAAUGCCAAAAUGCAAACCUCUCUGCGCAUGAGUCCGGUGGUCACCGGACGCGUCCGGUGCCACAUAAAGAGCGUCCGGUGACCCCGCGGCGGGCGCAUAAAGCCCACGCCCAGAGGGUUUCGCGGGCGGUUUUCUUCCUUCUCUCCCGAUUCUCGCCGAGCCGCCCGUGCCCUAGCCCGCAGGAACCGCCACCGACCGCCGAGAUUCCUCCUCCGACAAUCCCGUGCCAUCUUCCCUGCGCCAGAUCUGCCCAGGGAUCUCUCCCCCAUCCUUCUCCUCACACGCAGAUCCAUCUCGAGGGGGUUUGAGGGAUUGGGUGAGUUUUCUCGAUUGCUUGCCCUUAAGGUGUUUGAGUUUUUCGUUUCAUUGGAUUAGAAAAGGGUUCUUAACCUCGAUCUUCCUCGUUAACCCUGUGCAGCACCAUAAGGAAAGGGCUCGUGGUUUCCGGUGGUUGUCAAUCGAAAGUUUUCAUCCAGAACACGACUCGUCUGUGGAUCGUAAGCCGUUCGCGUGCGUAUCUUAUCUAUUCUUAUGAUCUAUAGGAUUGUCUCAUCUCUAGUCGAUAUGUUUUCUUAUAUAUAUCCUAUCUUGUCGAUUCCCUACAGCGCGUUAAUCUCCAUUGUCAGUCGGUUGUUAGUCGGACACUUGUUUCUCAAUGGCUCGUACCAAGAACGUCAGUGGUCCGACAGCUGGCUCAGGAGGUUCCCCAGGAGGCGAUGGUGGAGGUGAUCCUCCUCGUCGCCUAUCAGCGGCAGAGAAAGGCAAGGGAAAGAAGCUGGCCACCAAGAAGCGCAAGGCCAGUGACAGAGAUGCAGAGGUCGCAGAGGCAGUGGCAGCAGCAGUAGAAGCCGCAGAGAGAGGUGGUCGAGCAGGUGCUUUGAGGAUUGGGGAUGAUCUUACGCCGUGUCAGAGGCGUGCAGUGCUUGAGGCAGAGGCAUUCCACGGAUCCCCUCCAGACACCGUGACGAUUGGAGGACAGAGGAUUAGGCUUGUGGUCAGGGAUCCAGCUCAGGAGGAUCCAGACACUGAGACAGAGACCCAGGCAGAGGGUCCAGCACAGGAGCAGGAGCAGCCACUCAGGAGGUCGACUCGUGCUCGUACCCAGGCCGUUCCUUGGACUGGCACGCCGGGUCAGUCCACUUCCACAGCUCGUGCCACACCAGCGAGAGGCACACCAGCUUCACGCCCGAGGCCAGUCAUGAUCCACAGGGAUCUCUCUCUUGUGUCAGCCAGAGAGAUCCAGCAGCUGAGGUUUGUUCCCUUUCCCACCUGGUUUCCAGCUGCAAGGGAUCCUAGAGCCGGUGCCAGGUUCUACACAGUCGUCCAGGAGGACAUCUACGAGGCACUGGUUCGCUCUCAGGCUCAGUUCAGGGAGCACAGAGUGAUCGACCUGGAGAUACUGGGGAACGUGGUUGGAGCAGAUAUUCGUCAGUACUUUACCUACCUCCACGGACUUCCAGAGUUACUAGCACUCCCCGGCACUUACUGUGAGCAGUGGGUCAGAGAGUUCUAUGCGUCAGUGUGGGUUUCUCCAGAUCACAGUUACAUCCACUACGCACUGGCAGGCACGGACUACAGAGUGAUAGCUCAGAGGGCUAGAGAGGUGCUUGGACUGCGAGCCUCUCCAACCAGGAUUCACCAGCUGUGCUACAGGAACAUGGAUCCCCCUCGUCGUCCUCACGGAGGUGAGAUCCCACCGAUUGACUUCGUGGCUCCCUGUUUCCGUGCACCUUUUGGGGAGGGCUCCAGCAGGACAGUGGCAGAUUUGACACGACCAGCCAGGAUCCUCGACUUUGUGUUGAGGAAGACUCUUCUCCCCAGGACAGGCUACAGAGAUGGCUUCACUCGUAUGCAGCAGUGGCUCGUCGCUCACCUUAUCUCCCAGACGCAGUUUGAUUUGUGGGAUCUGAUCGUCUCAGAGAUAGAGGACACCAUUUCAGAGAGCUUCAGGGGACGGCGUCAGUUGCCGUAUGCACAUUGGAUCACUCUGCUUAUUCUUCAUGCUAGGCCACUGCCCCUGCCAGCUCACUUGCAGAGGGAGUUGACAGAGUCCGACACCAUCUUCCCCCACUACGACCCCCGGCAGAUGUUGAGAGCGCACCACGACCUUCGCGGUGCACCUCCUCCUCGUGCUCCACGUGGACCGGUGCCCCCACCUUCUCCUAGGGGCACCCGCAGUAUAGCAGCAGUUGCAGAGACAGAGGAGCAGCAGGAUAUAGCUAUUGGCGCGUUUGCAGAUGCAGAGGCAGAGGGCGAGUUUGACUUCGCCUCAGACAGCUCAGAUGAUGACUAUCAGCCACCAGUGACAGAUCUCCCUCCCAGAGCUCACGACCACGAGGCAGGCGGUUCUUCGAGUACUUCAGACCCCGCCCUGCUUGCUAUCUUAGAGGGGAUGAGGGCAGAUCAGCGCCGUGCAGCUGAGGAGCAGGCGAGGCGAGACAGGGAUCAGGCUGCCAUCAAUGCAGCCAUGCAGGCCAGGCAGGAUGAGCUCCAGCGUCAGCUUCUCACUUUUCAGGAGCAGCAGCUUGCUUUCCAGGCCCAGCAGACAGCGAUGAUGGCCGCUCUCAUGGCCGCCUCAGGGAUUCAGCUACCGCAGAUCCAGCUCCCAGGCACGUCGACUGUCAGGCCACCUACUCCAGUGCCUCAGACUUAGAGCCCGUCUCAGUAGCCGCUUCAGCUACCAGCUCAGAGUCAGCCGUUUUCGACUCCAUAGCACCAGGUCUCCCAGGGUGCUAUCUCUUCCGGCUUUGAGCAGGUACCUCAGUUCACUCCUCUCCGCUCAGGCUUCACUCCUCAGUUAGCGUUAGCGUCACAGCUUGUGUGGGAUUCGCAGACAGAUCCGCACCUCAGCUUCACCUACAGUGCUCUGACUGGUGACCCUACGCCUCCUCCUCUGCAGGCUCCUGCAGUCUUUACGGCGCCAGUUACCACUACAGAGCUUCUGUCGUCGUCAGUAGCGUCGUCCGAGCAGCUUGCACCGUCUACUACCGUACCAGAGACGACAGCUACAGCGACCGAGACCGUGCCAGCUUCGUCAGCCGGACUCGAGCAGCCAGCACAGCCUGUGACAGCUCCAGAGCAGACCCGGACCGCUUCUCCAGCUCCUGCAGCUUCAGAGGGUCACUCCACUUCCUCUGCCUCGACGGCCGACAGUUCAAAUGAUGCAGCUCGCUUCGUGGCCGUGCCGAGGGACUCCACUGCUCCGCCUCCUCCACCGACUUCUUAGGUUUUUGGUGCUUGAUGCCAAAGGGGGAGAGAGUUUGUAGUAUGAGAAUUAGGAGUUAGGGGGAGCUAGAGAGGGUUUAGGAGUCUUCUUUUGAGGAGUCUAUUGUUUUGAGAUACCCUUUUUAUGUGUGCUACUUUAUCAUGCAUCACGUUUACUUUUAUGCAUUGCACUUGUGUGAGAUACUAUGGUUGUGAGACAUGACUUGUGGUUAUUGUGACAUCUUAAUGUCAUGUGUUGGCUCAUAUUACCCUUUGCUUCCGCGUUUUACUCCGUUGUUCUUAUGAGCUUUGUGUUUAUAUCCUGUUGUAUUUCACUCACAUAUUUGGAUGCAGGGUAUUGGACUUGGUUGAUAUAAGCAUGCCUAAUCCUUUCUGCUCUUAUUGUAUCAUGCUUAUUGAAACCAAGUCUCUUUAAAAACCUCAACUCUUUUCAUACUCGAGGUUGUCAUCAAUCACCAAAAAGGGGGAGAUUGAAAGAGCAUCUAGGCCCCUAGUGAUUUCAGUGAUUAAUGAAAUAAUGCUUACUAUGACUAACGUGUGUUUUGCAGAGGCAAAGUCAUAGGUAAGGUCAUGGUUUAUAGGUACUCGAUGGACAGGGACGUACAUGCCUACUUAAUAGUGGAAAUCGUUUCGGUUUUUAAAGGAUGGAUGGACAUCGUCAAGACUAGACUAGGUCUAAGUGCCAUAUGGUGUAGAAGGGCACUUAGAGUAGUUUAGGACUUUGUUUUCCUUUGACCGUACUAUUAAGAGGGGCUUUGAUCUAGUAGCUUGACUUAGGCAUGGCUUUAGGUUUAGGUGUGGUGCACACUUGGUAAACCUAGCACUAGGCAGCUCAGAGAUAGUCCUUAGAUCGAGAGGAACCAACUUCGUUUUGGAGCGAUCGCGUUUUGACGGAGUUUGGGUGCCCAAAGGGGCACCGGACGCUGCACCGGACACUCUGUGAGUGUGUCCGGUGAGGUCCCUAGCCGUUAGAAUAGUGUGGUGCUUAGGGUUAGGCACCGGACGCUAGCACCGGACGCACCGGGUAGCAUCCGGUCCCUUACCCAGGGAGGUUGCAAGCCUUCCCUGAGCACCGGACGCUAGCACCGGACGCGCCGGGUAGCGUCCGGUCCCAUGCGCAUGGAGCAUGUAAAGUUUUCCCGAGCACCGGACGGUGCACCGGACGCUGGGAGUUAGCGUCCGGUGACCUGUCCAAAAAAAAGUGCAGGUAACCGUUAUGAAGCACCGGACGCUCGGUGCAGUGCGUCCGGUGCAACAUAAUGUGCGUCCGGUGACCCCGUUUUCACUGGAAAACGGUUAGCCGACCUUUGGACUUCGUGGAUAGUAUUUAUACUCCUCCACCUCGUCCAUGAGAGUUCUCUUGCCCAUUUGAACUUCAGAGAACCUUGUUGUGGAGCAAGAGAGUUGCAAGAGCCUAGAGAGGAUUGAGAUUUGAGUGAUUUCUUGAGAGAAUCCUUCUCUAGUGAGUUCCAAGAGUCAAGUGUUCAUCCACCACUCUCUAGAGCCUUGUUUGGGUCAAGUGAGAGUUCGUUGCUUGUUACUCUUGGUGAUCGCCAUCACCUAGACGGUUCGGUGGUGAUUGAAGGCACGAAGACCGUCCGGAGUUCUUGUGGGUGGCUCGUGUCAAGCUUGUGAGCGGUUUUGGGCGAUUCACCGCGACGGAGUGUCGAAGAAUCAGCCCGUAGAGAGCACUUGGUCCUUGCGCGGACCAAGGGGGAGCAAGACCCUUGCGCGGGUGCUCCAACGAGGACUAGUGGAGAGUGGCGACUCUUCGAUACCUCGGCAAAACAUCGCCGAGCAUUUUCUUCCACUACUCCUUUACUUUCUAGCAUUUACUUUGUGUUUUUACAUUCUUAGAAUUGCCUUGCUAGAAUAGGAUUGGAACUAGGUUGCAAAACUUUUAUCCGGUAGCUCUCUAAGUCACACUAGGCACAAGGGGUUGAAUUGGAGCUUAUAGGUUGCUUAAAUUUUUAGAGAAGCCCAAUUCACCCCCCCUCUUGGGCAUCUUGAUCCUUUCAGAGAUCUGUUUCACUUUACAACCCAGGUUGUUUUUACAAAUCUAUUGACUUAACAACCCAUGUUUCUACAACUUUGUUGACUUAUUCAUACAUACGUUAAUUUUAACUAUAUGUUGACUUUAAUACACAUGUGUUGAUCUGUACAAAAACCUAGUGUUGCUUUAAGAUAUAUGUUGUGGUAUCCACAAAUAUCAGUUGCAACACAUGUGUUGAUCUCCAAGAAAAUGUAGCUUUGUGAAGAAAUGUUUCACUAGACAAACGAAUGUUCCUUUUAGUUAAAUGUUGCGGUAUACACAAAUAUGUUCCUUUUAGUUAUAUGUUAAUAUGUUGAUUCCAUAUAUAGGUUGCUUUUCACUAUGUGUUGCAGUUAAUAUACAUGUGUUGAUCUAUAAGAAAAUGUUUCACUAGCCAAACAAUUGUUGCCUUUAGAUAUAUGUUGCGGUAUACACAAAUAUGUUUCACUAGAUAUAUGUUGAUUUCACUAUACGUUGCAAUUAAUAUACACGUGACUAUGAAAAUGCAGCUUUUUAAAGAACUGUUUUACUACAAACGAAUGUUCCUUUUAGUUAAAUGUUGUGGUAUACACAAAUAUGUUGAUUAUUUAAAUGUUGCAGUAUACACAAAUUAAAUGUUGCCUUUUGCCUUUAGUUAAAUGUUGCUUUAAGAUAUAUGUUGUUGUAUCCAUAUAUAUGUUACUUUUAACUUUAAGUUUACACAUGUCAAACAAAUAUAUAUUGCGGCAUACACAAAUAUGUUGAUUCCAUAUAUAAGCCUUUCACUAUAUGUUACAGUUAAUAUACACGUGUUGACCUCUAUGAAAAUGUAGUUUUUUAAAGAACAAAUGUUCCAUGUUGUGGUAUCCACAAAUAUGCUCCCCUAUAUGAUAUAUGUUGUAGUUAAUAUACACGUGUUGACCUCUAUGAAAAUGUAGCUUUUUAAAGAACAAAUGUUCCAUGUUGCGGUAUGUAACACCGAAAAAUUUGAUUUUAAUUAAUAGGAAUUAAUUUGAUUUAAUUAAGUAUUUUUGUGAGCAUUUAAAUUUAGCACUCAAAUAAUUUUUUCGAGGAAAAUAAAAUUUAUCAUAAGUUUAGUAAACUUGAUUGUGCAUUUAUGUUGGAGAAUAAUUGUUUUUGUGUUGUGUGUUUUGUUUGAGAAUUAAAAUAACUCAAAACUAUUUUGAAAGAGCUUUGGAAAAUAAAAUAGAAAAGAAAUUUAGAAAAAAAAAGAGAAAGCCUCCCUGGAUCUGGCCCGAAGGCCUGGUUUGCUCCCCUCGGCCUGAUGGCCUGCUGGCCGAGGCCCAGCUUCCCUUUCCCUCUUGGCCUGCUUCUCCUCCACCGCGGCCGAGUGACUCUCGCAACACCUCGCAGCCCAGUUCUCUCUUCCGGCCCAGCACGCCACCCCCUCCCCCUCGCCACGGACCAGAGCGCGGCCGAGGAACGCACGCACGCUGGCCUUCCCCUCCCCUCUCUCUUCCUUGGCUGGCAAGCGGACCCAGCGCCUCCGGUCACCGACAGGUGGGCCCUGCUCGUCAGUCGCCAUUCUUCAACCCUCGAGUCGGGUGUGACCUAGACUCUGUUCUAGAGCCGGACACGAACUUUGGACGGCAAUCCAAUCCUGGCCUCCACGGGAUUUGGCUAAUCCGGUACCCUAUAAAGAUGUAGACCCUUCUCAUGCCCUCGUUUACCUGUCGUCAUGCCUUCAUGAAGCCUUAGCCGCUUUUGGAGCCAUUUUGGAUCUCAGCAAGCACUAGAAGGAAAUACUGCCGAUGCCAUUGCCGUUGUUCUUUGCUCUCUGGUUGUUAUAAGCCCAGGCCGAGCUUCGCGAUGUUCUUGCGGAGAUGCCGAGCCCCUUCUCCAUCUAUAGUCGACCUGGUUCAACUUCUAACCUCCGCCGAUGUAUUCAGGGAGCUCAUCGCCCACCCCAUCUCGAUGUUGGGUCUCCUCGAGCUCUCUCCGGCGCCAAGAAUCUCCUAGGUGAGCUCGCGGUGUCCCCCUCUACGUUCUCGUACUUUUGGUUUUUGUUUUAGUGCACCGUAGCGUCCUGUCGGUGAGCUCCGGCGAGGAGCAAGGCCCUCCAGCCAUGGCGCCAUCGGCCGGGGUUAUUGUAGCCAGCUAGCUCCCUCUCUCUCCCCUCUUGGUUCUAAUCCAAGCAUACAAAUCCAAUCCAACGGUCUAGAUUCAACCAUACCCUUUCAUUCACUCUUUUGCUAACGAGUCCCUGCAUUUCUUUAAAAUAGAACCCGCGGUCCAAUACGUAUUUUCUGGUUCGCGCUUUUCAAUUUUGAAAAUUUGAAAGAAAAUACGUAUUCCAAUAUUUACAAGAUUGCCACUGAAUUUGUUUAGCUCAUAAAAUCUUUGUUUUAAUUCCGUUUUGACCUGUUCAAAUUGUGUUGGAUUCGUUUUCAUGAGCUCUACAUGUUGGUAACACUGUUUUCUUAGUUUGAAACCUUUUAAUUUCAUGAUCCUAUUUAAUUAAUUACUUUUCCGUACGAAAUCUUAUAAAAUUCAUAUCUUCUCCGUUUCAACUCUUAUUUUCGUGAUCUUUACGUCUAUGAGAUCGUAGCGAUGCGUAGAAUCAUUUUAUAAACUCUUCAUACUGUUUUUACAUGUUUGUUGUACUGUUCUAAUUGUAGCCUUGUUUGCUUCGUGUAUGUUGUCUUCGAUUGUUUAUGUGUUGGUGAUCGAUGAUUGAGUUUAGACGGUGAACAAUUCGUGGUGAACAAGAAUACUUCAAUGAUCAAGAUCAGAGCCUUGGACAACUAGCAAGACGAGCAGAAUCAACAAGAGCAUUUGGAUUAAGGCAAGUAUAGCAUUUGGAUUUUAUUUCUGUGACCAUGAUCUUGUGACUGGAUUAAUGUUAAGUAAUAAAUGAUAAAAAUGACUUUUUAGCAACUUGAUGAUUUGUCUGUAAGUGAUAACCGGGACAACAGUGCAACCAUAAGGGCUAUAAUGGCUCUGGCUUUAGCUCAGUAUGAAGACCUUUUCUAGCUUGUUAGCGGUUACCCGAAAGGGCGCUAGAGGGGCUUGCCGUUUUGGGUAUAGUGCGAGCCUCUGUCCUUAUGUGUAUAGGCUGCGUGUCAUUGCGCCAUUUGAAAGAGGGCAUCUAUAUCUGCGCGCCCGGGAAACCUUGCGGUCCUAACAUGUUAGACGAACUUUUGAAAGGCUUCAUAGUGAUCCCUGCCGACCUUCCUUGGUAGUGGGUUAAGAGGUCAACGGGCCUCAGGCAGAAGGAUAAAUCAUAACUCAUGAGUAAAGAUGUGCAACCUCUGUAGAGUGUUAAAACUGGUAUACUAGCCGUGCUCACGGUCAAGAGCGGCCUUGGGGAUUCUUACACUAAGGGUGAUGACUCUUGUUGUGUUAAGAUACUCAUUAUUUAUUGUUUAAUGCUUUACAUUAUUUAUGUCACAUUGAUCAUGAGAUUGUGGGAUCUAUAUAAUCUAGUUGCUAUACUUGUGGAGUUCGACAUGGACUCACUCUUGUUAUUUCCCCCACACUUCAGGAAGUGUUUUAGGCUUGUGAUCAACCAGUUAGUUGGAUCCUGUAGAGAGAAGUUAAUACCCGAAGUUUGGAGUUGUCUAUCCGCUGUUUGCUAUCAAAGGUUAUCUCUUUUAUACUAAGUACGUUAUAUAUUUAUGCAUUGUCUUUUGAUAUUACCCCUUAUUUGUAGCUAUAUGUGAGAUUUGGAUUUUAAAACUCACAUAUGGUGCAUAUCUGGUUUUGUCCUUAAAAUCGGGUAUUACACGGUAUCCACAAAUAUGUUCCUUUAGUUAUAUGUUGCUUUUAGGUAUAUGUUACGGUAUACAUAAAUAUGUUGAUUUACACCCAUGUCUCUACGAAAAUGUAGCUUUUUAAAGAAAUGUUUCACUUUAUAUGAAAUGUAGCUUUUUAAAAAAAUGUUUCACCACAAAUGAAUGUUCCUUUUAGUUACAUGUUGUAUACAUAUGUGUUGAUAUUGAAGAAAAUGUAGCUUUUGAAGAAAUGUUUCACUAGAUAUAUGUUGUGGUACACACUAAUAUGUUGCUUUAGAUAUAUAUUGCGGUAUCCACAAAUAUGUUCCUUUAGACCCGUGUUGACCUCUAUGAAAAUGUAGCUUUUUAAAGAAAUGUUUCACUACAAACGAAUGUUCCUUUUAGUUACAUGUUGAGGUAUACACAUGUGUUGAUAUCGAAGAAAAAGUAGCUUUUUGAAGAAAUGUUUCACUAUAUGUAUGCUGCGGUACACACUAAAAUGUAGCUUGUUAAAGAAAUGUUUCACUUUAUAUGAAAUGUAGCGUUUUGAAGAAAUCUUUCACUAGAUAUAUGUUGUGUACACACUAAUAUGUUGUGGUAUAUCGAAGAAAAUGUAGCUUUUUGAAGGAUGUUCCUUUUAGUUACAUGUCGUGGUAUACAUAUGUGUUGAUAUCGAAGAAAAUGUAGCUUUUUGAAGAAAUGUUUCACUAGAUAUAUGUUGCGGUACGCACUAAUAUGUUGCGGUAUAUCGAAGAAAAUGUAGCUUUUUGAAUAAAUGUUUCACUUGAUGUAUGUUGCGGUACACACUAAUAUGUUGCUUUUAGUUAUAUGUUAUAGUAUGCACAAACAUGUUCAUGAAAAUGUAGCUUUUUAAAGAAAUGUUUCACUACAAAUGAAUAUUCCUUUUAGUUACAUGUUGCGGUAUACACAUGUGUUGAUAUCAAAGAAAAUGUAGCUUUUUGAAGAAAUGUUUCACUAGAUGUGUGUUGCGGUACACACUAAUAUAUUGCUUUUAGUUAUAUGUUGCGGUAUCCACAAAUAUGUUCGUUUAAACCCAUGUUGACCUCUAUGAAAAUGUAGCUUUUUAAAGAAAUGUUUCACUACAAAUGAAUGUUCCUUUAAGUUACAUACUGCAGUAUACACAUGUGUUGAUAUCGAAGAAAAUGUAGCUUUUUAAAUAAAUGUUCACUAGAUAUAUGUUGCGGUAUACACAUGUGUUGAUAUCGAAGAAAAUGUAGCUUUUGUUGCGGUAUACACAUGUGUUGAUAUCAAAGAAAAUGUAGCGUUUUGAAGAAAUGUUUCAGUAGACAAAAGAAUGUUGCUUUUAGAUAUAGGUUGCUAUUAGAUAUAUGUUGCGGUCUACAGAAAUAUUUUGAUUUUUUAAUAUAUGUUGCAGUUAAUACACAGUUGUUGAUCUCAAAGCAAAUGUAGCGUUUUGAGGAAAUGUUUCACUAGACAAAAGAAUGUUGCCUUUAGAUAUAUCUUGCGGUACACACUAAUAGCUUUUACAUAUAUGUUGCGGUAUCCACAAAUAUGUUCCAUUAGUAUAUGUUGCUUUUGGAUAUAUGUUGCGGUAUACACAAAAAAUGUUUCACUAUAUGUUGUGGUAAUACACAUGUGUUGAUAUCGACGAAAAUGUAGCUUUUCGAAGAAAUGUUACAAAAUAUAUAUGUUGGCAUAUACACUAAUAUGUUGCUUUUAGAUAUAUGUUGCGGUAUCCACAAAUAUGUUCCCUUAGAAUGUCGCUUUUAUUUCCAUGUUGUGGUAUACACUAAUAUGUUGACACUAAUAUGUUGCUUUUAGAUAUAUGUUGCGGUAUAUACAAAUAUGUUGCUUUUCAAAAUAUGUUGAAGUUAAUACACAUGUGUUGAUCUCUAAGAAAAUGUAGCGUUUUGAAGAACUGUUUCAGUACACAAAAGAAUGUUGCUUUUAGGUAUAUGUUACGGUAUACAUGUGUUGAUAUCGACGAAAAUAUGGCUUUUUGAAGAAAUGUUACAUUAUAUAUAUGUUAUGGUAUACACUAAUAGUUGAUAUCGAAUAAAAUGUAGCUUUUUGAAUAAAUGUUUCACUAGAUAUAUGUUGCGGUAUACACAUGUGUUGAAAUCGAAGAAAAUGUAGCGUUUUGAAGAAAUGUUUUACUUGACAAAAUAAUGUUAGUUUGAGAUAUAUGUUGCUAUUAGAUAUAUGUUGCGGUUUACACAAAUAUGUUGAUUUUUAAUAUAUAUUGCAGUUAAUACACAACUGUUGAUCUCUAAGAAAAUGUAGCAUUUUGAGGAGAUGUUUCACUAGACAAAAGAAUGUUGCCUUUAGGUAUAUGUUGCGGUACACACUAAUAGCUUUUACAUAUAUGUUGGGGUAGCCACAAGUAUGUUCCUUUAGAAUGUCGCUUUUAUUUACAUUUUGCGGUAUACACUAAUAUGUUGCUUUUAGAUAUAUGUUGCGGUAUAUACUAAUACGCAUGUGUUGAUCUCUAAGAAAAUGUAGCGUUUUGAAGAAAUGUUUUCUUGACAAAAUAAUGUUGCUUUUAGAUAUAUGUUGCUAUUAGAUAUGUGUUGCGGUUUACAGAAAUAUGUUGAAUUUAAUAUAUGUUGCAGUUAAUACACAGCUGUUGAUCUCUAAGAAAAUGUAGCGUUUUGAGGAAAUGUUUCACUAGACAAAAGAAUGUUGCCUUUAGAUAUAUGUCACAGUACUAAUAGCUUUUACAUAUAUGUUGCAGUAUCCACAAAUAUGUUCCUUUAGUAUAUUUUGCUUUUAGAUAUAUGUUGCGGUAUUCACAAAUAUGUUGAUUUACACCCGUGUUGACCUCUAUGAAAAUGUAGCUUUUUAAAGAAACACAAAUAUGUUCCUUUUUAUAUGUUGCGGUAUAUACAAAAAAUGUUUCACUAGUAUUAAUGUGUUGAUAUCGACGAAAAUGUAGCUUUUCGAAGAAAUGUUACAUUAUAUAUAUGUUGCGGUAUAUGUUGCGGUAUCCACAAAUAUGUUCCUUAAGUAUAUGUUGCUUUUAGAUAUAUGUUGUGGUAUUCACAAAUACGUUGAUUUACACCCGUGUUGACCUCUAUGAAAAUGUAGCUUUUUAAAGAAACACAAAUAUGUUCCUUUUUAUAUGUUGCGGUAUAUACAAAAAAUGUUUCACUACUAUUCAUGUGUUGAUAUUGACGAAUAUGUAGCUUUUCGAAGAAAUGUUACAUUAUAUAUAUGUCGCGGUAUACACUAAUAUGUUGCUUUUAGAUAUAUGUUGCGGUAUCCACAAAAUGUUCCCUUAGAAUGUCGCUUUUAUUUCCAUGUUGCGGUAUACAGUAAUAUGUUGCCACUAAUAUGUUGCCUUUAGAUAUAUGUUGCGGUAUAUACAAAUAUGUUGCUUUUCAAUAUAUGUUGAAGUUAAUACACAUGUGUUGACCUCUAAGAAAAUGUAGCGUAUUGAAGAAAUGUUUCAGUAGAUAAAAAAAUGUUGCUUUUAGAUAUAUGUCACGUCAUCUAUACCAGAUUGCUUUUAGAUAUAUGUUGCGGUAUAUACAAAUAUUUUCCUUUAGAAUGUUCCUUUAGAAUGUCGCUUUUAUUUACAUGUUGUGGUACACACUAAUAUGUUGCUUUUAGAAAUAUGUUGCGGUAUACACUAAUACACUUGUGUUGAUCUCUAAGAAAAUGUAGCGUUUUUAAGAAAUGUUUUACUUGACAAAAGAAUGUUUCUUUUAGAUAACUUGCUUUCAGAUAUAUGUUGUGGUAUAUACUAAUACACAUGUGUUGAUCUCUAAGAAAUUGCGGUUUACACAAAUAUGUUGAUAUUUCAAUAUAUAUUGCAGUUAAUACACAGGUGUUGAUCUCUAAGAAAAUGUUGUGUUUUGAGGAAUUGUUUCACUAGAGAAAAGAAUGUUGCCUUUAGAUAUAUGUUACGGUACACACUAAUAGCUUUUACAUAUAUGUUGCAGUAUCCACAAAUAUGUUCCUUUAGUAUAUGUUGCUUUUAGAUAUAUACCACAUUUAGAACCUAGUGAGCUAACUUAACUCCUUCAAUGAAAAUGAUUAUGAAAAUGCUAACACACUUGCACAUGUUGGUACACACAUGUUGGUGUUGGCACACUUUGAGAAGGAGGUGGAGUUUGAGAAGGAGGUGGCACUUUUGAGAAAAUGAAAUGCAUAUUAGGAUCUUUCACAACAAACAAGAUCAAGAUGUGAUAAUUGUAAGGAACAAAGCAAUAUUAGUAGCACAAGGCUAUACUCAAGUUGAAGAUCUUGACUUUGGUGAAACAUAUACCCCGGUUGCAAGGUUGGAAGCAAUUAGUAUCUUGUUGGCCUAUUCUUGUGCACAUAACAUCAAGUUAUAUCAAAUGUAUGUGAAGAGUGCAUUUCUCAACGGCUAUAUCAAUGAAGAAGUCUAUGUUGAUCAACCUACCGAUUUUGAAGAUGACAAGAAACCUAACCAUGUUUACAAGCUUUUGAGAAAAUGAAAUGCAUAUUUUAUAUUGUGCCAAUGGAAAAGUUUGGAGAAGUCGCGGUAGUGUUUUUCACUGAAUGCUGGCCUCAGAGGCACCAGACGCUGCACCUAAGUAUCCGGUGCGCUCUUGUUUCAGGCAGAGGUGAAGGGAGCACCGGACACUCAGCAUCGGAUGCUGGCUGGAUACUAUUGGCGCAUCCAGUGAUGCCUUCAGCAGUGAGAAUGUGAGUGUUUAUGAAUGAGAGCACCAGACACUCAGUGAGCGUCUAGUGGUGUGAGUGCGGUGACCCCGCGCGUUUGACAACCUCUAUGCGUACAUGUCCGCUAUGUACCAGACACGUCCGGUGUCUACUUGACUACGCCCGGUGGUUUGAAUAUGACCAUUAGAGAUCGAUGUGUGAUAUUCAAACAUUGACACGUGGCUGUCAUCCGAGCACCGGACGCAGGGUUUGAGCAUCCAGUGGCUCUCUUGCAGCGCCUCCAGUGGUCCCAAUUUCUGCCCAGUGAAAGAGCCAAUGGCUCUAUUUGUUUGGGGGGCUUAUAAAUAGCUGUUGGCCAGCUUGGGUCUCACUCUCUUGGCAUUCUUGACUACUUGACAUCCUUGUAAGCCUAAGCAAACACCUCCCACUCAUCUCCUUCAUAGAUUAACCAUCUUUGUGAGAUUAGGAGUGAUUUCAAGUGCAUUUGCUUGAGUGAUUGCAUCUAGUGGCACUUGGGGAUCGAUUUGGCUACGGUUUUCUUGUUACUCUUGGUGGUUGCCACCACCUAGACGGCUUAGAGUAGGGAGGAGCAUUGGCACGAGUUGUUGAUUGUUCGUGGCCAUCUCCUGGUGAUUGUGAGGGGCUUUGUGCCUUCCCCGGUGGAGAGCCAAAAGGUAACUCUAGUGGAUUGCUCAUAUCAUUGAGCUACCUCACUUGUGGGUAGACUCUUGUGGUGUCCUAGUGAGGACGAGGUUCAUGCUACACCUCCUAGCCGCCGAACCACCAAGUGUUGGUCGACACAACGGGUACAUAGCGUGUCGGCAAGCACGUGAACCUCGAGAGAGAAAUUGGUGUCUCAAUUGUAUUUGAUUAGCAUUCUCUUGGUGCUUGAUUUUUCAUAUAUUGGUGAUUCAUUCAUCCCCUACACGGUGGUAUAUUUAUCUAAUCCUCUCCCUUACUAACCGCAAAGUAGUGUAAUUAGUUUAGUUGCUUCCUUUGUCUUGUAUAGCUUAAGUUCACUAGUGUAGCUUGUAGUGACAUAGCUCUUGUGUGCCUAGUGAUCACAUCAACUAGAAUUAUUGGAUAGGUGGCUUGCAAAAACCCCAUUAGAGCUAGAGCAAAAAUCUUCACUUUGUUAUUUACUAACCUCUUACUCUAGUUAGUUUGUAGAAUUUUUAAAAUAGGCUACUCACCCCCCUCUAGCCAUAUUAGAACCUUUCAAGUGGUAUCAGAGCCAUGGUCACCAUUUUGCGAAGGCUUAACAACCUCGAUGCAAAAAUUAUGGCUCAAAUAGUGUUGAACCAUGUUGGGGGAAACCACCGUUCUUUGAUAGCACAAGUUAUUUUGACUAUUGGAAGAGAAAAAUGAAAAUGUACCUUGGAUCAAUCAAUGAUAGAGUUUGGGAAGUCAUGGAGAAUGAUUUUGUGAUCCUUUAUCCCGCCAACCCCACUGACAAUGAGAGAGCCAACAAACAAUGCAAUACUAUGGCUAUCAACAUAAUCUACAAUGGCAUUGAUUCAAAGGUGUUUGAACAAGUCAAGGAUCUUGAGAAGGCUAGUGAAGUUUGGACAAGACUAGAAGAGACCUAUGAGGGCACUACAAUGGUAAAAAGAGCCAAGUUAUACAUGCUCAAAGACAAGCUAUCCAACUUCAAGAUGAAGGAUGAUGAGUCAAUUCCGGAGGUGUUCUUGUUGACUCUUCUUAGCAUCACUACCUAGGAUUGUCAGUCCUUGGCACAACACAAGAAAUGAUUGUGUGACACUAGAAGUGGCAAACAGUUUUACCGCAAGCGGACGGUGGUCAAUGUAGCACUUCACCAGGAGUAUUCCAGGUAUCGUAUUUUCCAUGGGGAACGAGAAGUGACUAACUAUACCAAUUGAGUCAUCGGAUGAUGAUCAAAGGGCUUAGGAUUUUGGUGGAGAGGUAUUUUUAGUAUUUGGCUUCUAGCUAAGCUAUCCUAAGUAUACCGAGAGUUAACUCCCUUCCUACUGUGGCCGAUAGGUGAAAAGGGUGUGGUGAAACACUUCCCUAGGCAGCUACCAUGUAGGACAACUAUUACUUGCAACUUGCCUAACAACACAUAAAGAGAAAUCCUAAUGUCCAGCAGAGGCCUAUCACACUUCUCUGCUAGAAGUACUCUGAUGAAAGGCAACUAGAAGGAAGACUUACUAGAAGACAAGCAUCCGCUGAGGCGCUCCUAGAAGAAUACUCCCAACAAGCCGGGACUCCUCCUCGGGGAACUCCUCACUCUCUUCCCUCCAUUCUCACACUAAGCUAAGAGUAGCUCUUCCAAAGAUACAUCAUGCUUAACUAGGCUCUCUAAGGGGGUAUUAUAGGGGAGAGAUGGAGUAGGGGCUACUCCAACGCCACGUCAGCGAUCCGCGUGCUCCCUAUUCUCCACCGCCAUAUGAUCAACGGUUGGGGUUUUCCAUCACAUGUUCAUCAUGGGGACAUCGGUGGGAGUGAAACGACUCAAGAUGGGGCCCACAUGUUGGUCGGCCAACCUGCCAUAUGGAUGACAGUGGGUCCCACUAACCUUCUAGAAGGUCCUUAGGUCGGUGGGAGGCUGGGCUAGGUGGCAUGACCCAAUUGGUCGGUCGGCCGACCGACCUUUGGGGCCCCUUGCCCACCACUGGCCUCCUGGUGGUGUCCCCACUUGUCAUGUGAAGUGUUGUCCAAAGUUGAUUCAGGUUGCACACUUGUUUACUUCCAUGUGGGCCCAAGGAUCCAUGUGCUAAGUGUUGGAACCACUGAGGGCAAGCACACUUGGAUCCAAGGGUUGGGAUUGACUCCUUGGAGUAUGCCAUGGCUCAUGCCAUGGAGGGGAGCCCCUGGUGGGUCCAAACCAUGGUCGGUCGACCGAGGUUGUGGAAGGCUUAUUUCCUUCUUCCCUGCAUUGAACAAGCUAAGAAUACAAGUGGAACUUUAUUAGUGAUAAACAUGUUCAUGUGACGCUUAUCUUCCUUCAACCGAGGACUAUUAACGGGCUUUUGAUUAUAGAACUGGGUCUUAUUUGCCGUCAACAAGAAUCCCCACACUUAAGUCUUUGCUCGUCCUCGAGCAAAGGUUAGAGAAAGAUAACCUAUUAUUAUGAGCAAACACAAAGACUACUCAAGACAUAUCUUAUACAAGUGGGUUAUGUGGCACUGUCUAACAUAUAUCCUUAGGAUGUUGAAGAAUGAAAUAGUUCUCAAAGCAAAGUCAUCUUCCCAUUUUCAUAUCCUUAGUACUUAGAGUUUUUGAUAAAUGUUUUAAAAUGAAGCACAUAGUUCAUCCUUACUCCUCUAAUAGUACUCUCAAGUCACUCAGUAAGUAUAGGAUUCCUCACCAAGGCAUAUCAUAAGAUUGCCUUCUUUUGUUUCAUCCUACAUCUAUUAGGCUUGUGGGGCUCAGGUAGGGGGAAACAAGAUAGCAUACUUGCAUUGUAUCUAUUGUAAAGUUAAAACAAGGAUCCAAGGAGAAGAAUGUCAUAAUCCUAGAUCAAGAUGUGUAAGUGUGUGAAAAAUGAUUAGAAUAUAAUGCUCCUAUAUUUGAUAAGAUCUCUCUCUCUCUAUUUUAUUUGAGACAUGGCUAGCUCUUUUUUUCUUCUUUUUUUCAAAAGCAGUGGACCUUCAUGUGCCCACUUUUUUUGCUAAGCAUAGCCUUUGUGUCUCAUCUUAUAACCAAUACUUAGAGAGAGAUAUUCUAAACCUUAAAACAUGGAGCAUCUAUAUGGUGGAAAUGGAUGGCAUGUUUUUGCGUACUUCCAAUGUAGAAGCAACAUAUAUAUGUGGUGUGUGUGUGAUCUUGAUCUUGGGUCUAUGACAUAAUUCUCAACUAGGGUCAAAAGGUUUGACUAAACUCAACACAAGUACAAGUAUCAUAUAUAGAAGGGUUUUGAACAAGGUAUGAACAUAUAUGGCUGUGGUAGGAAUUCUCUUACUAUUGAGGAGUAAGUGACACUAUGGUUUUAUGAUAUUUUCAAAAAUAAAUCUCUAAGCACUUUGAAUAGAAAGGGUAUGAAUCAUGAGCUAAGAACUAUAUCACAAUUGUCAACCACCAAGUCAAUAUGAUAUUCCUAUCAAAAUAUGUGACCCACAAGUAUAAGCAUAUGCAAGAAUUAGACUUUGUGACACUUUUACCCUUUUGAUGUCAUGAAUCAUGUCAAACUUUUAAUGUCAUAAACCAUAGAUCCAAGUCUUCUUGUUUUUAUUUUUGUUUUAUUUUUUCUAAUAAAGCAAACAAGAGACAGAAAUAAUAAAAAUGAAAGAACAGAGGGGGAGUAGCAGUGGCAAACCAGUCAGAAGGCAGGCAGAUGUUGAGUGGAUGCUGAAUGGUGGGUCUAGGGCUCCAAGGUGGGGUCGGCUGACCCCUCUUGGGCUUGCACAUCACUUCCAUUUGAAUUCCCAUUGUUGAUGAUGUACCUCUGCAAGCUUCUAUUCCUGUUGGCCGUCAAAGAGGUGGUCGACCGACCCCCUAAUUAGGGUAGAAUUUGUCGAGCCAACUUGCCUCACCAUGUACUAUGUCAUGGUGUGUGCAGGAAAUUCAGAGACUUAGUUGGGGGGCCACUAGACCCCCACACUUGGAUUCUUGAACAUUCUAAAAUCCAAAUACAUGGGAAACAUCAAGUGUAGGGGUCCUGCUGGUGGCAAUACACCAACGGGACCAAGUUGGGUCAUGGGUAAGUAGCUAAAAUCUUAUCAUCAAUUUAACAGGGGAAAUUUCAAUCUUGUGUACCAUGGCAUAGAGAAAUUUUAGUUCAUCAUCUUUUAAAGAGUUAGAAGAACCAGGAAAAAGAUUGGUAGUAAUCCAAAAAUAAAUUAAGCACAAUGUUAGAUUGUGAAUUUUAUAGGUUAAGAGAGUGGAGCAAUCAUCAAAAUAUACUCUUGUUAAACCCAGGCAUGGUAGUGUCUAAGUCAAUUGUACAAUCAAAGUCACAACCUAGAGCAGUGGUUAGAAGACCCCAAGUACAGCUACACACUUGCCCACACAUGCGAAAUGUUAUGAGUCAAUUUUAGUGUGCAUAAAAAUUAUUUAGUGAGCACUUCUAUACCAUGUUUAAGGUACUCACCAAACACCUCCCAAACCAAUGGUAUUAAAAUAUCAUUGAAUUCUUUAGUCAAACCUGUGCGGUCCACAAGGGCCGGGUCGAGGAUGCUUGUAUGGCGGAAACCACUCUCCUUUAGGUUGUUGAACUUGAUAAGCUAUUUCGGUGUUAAUAUGAGUUCAUUCUUCAGGCUCCAUUGCUCUUGGAGGAGGUUCGUAGAGCACCACUUGAUGGUGACUCUCCCCUUCCUCCAUCCUCUCAUGGCUUCCCUCAUUAGAGUGAUGAGAGCUUUGAGAACAACUCUCACCCCCUUUGGACUUCUAGAAUCGGGAGAGGAAUGCUUUCUCCAUUUUCCUGCAUAACACAGACAACCAAACUUUUUCCUACUUCUACUCCUAUGCAAGACUAAAUCUUUAUUUGGUUUUUUUUGAAAGGCAACUAUUCUAAUCUUGAUAAAUAACUUGCAACUAAGAAGAGAGAAGAGGGAUUGUGAGCUUGAGAUAAUUUUGGUGGUUUUGGGUGUGGAAUUGAGCUCACAAUGCAUGGAUAUUUAUAGGGGCAGAAGGGCAAGUGGUGAACACCCCAAUGUGGGGGUCGGCCGACCUUCCCAUAAGCACUAUGUUUCAAAAUUUUAAAUCAUGGUAGGGAAUCUUGCAACAUAUAUGAACUCUUUUCCAGAGAUUGGUCAAUGUAGGGGUUGGGCGACCCCUACCCUAAGCACUUUAGCACUCUAAAUGAUGUGGCAUUAACUGUCUACUAAAGUAAAUCCUAGGCGUGGACAAGAAGUAAAGUUCUUUUAUAAGAUUCCCUUGCCUAGUUCUAUGUGAAAGAGAAAAGAUGAUUUGCAAAAGUGGAGAUAUGCUUGAAGUGAUUGUCAGUGAUCAUGACAGCACUAGAGCAUGUCUACGAGACUACUUUACAGGUUUAAGCUGGUGCACAGGUCCCAAAUGGACCAUUUAUUUUCAGACUUUGGCUUGUGUAUCAUUCAUGGGAUUCUAAAGCAAAGCAAAUGGGAGAUAGCAGACUGCCAAAUGGGCAAGUCUUGGGGUCGACCUACCCCAACCUGAAAGCUCUAGGAGCAUCCAAGUGUUCACCUCGACACAUUGCAUCAAGCCAAAGUGAAAGACUGCAAGUGGGCCCAAUGGUGGGGUCGGCCGACCCCACCUAUAGGUGAUCCACAGGUCAAAACUUUAUUGCAAGAUGUUCUCAAGAUUUUCAUUUAUUAUUCCUAAGCAUUUUGUCGAAGGGAAAUAUGCAAACUAAACUAAGCAUGCAAUUGGAAGGGAAAUGCAAGAAUUGAAAUGCAAUGAGUAAAGAUGGGAUAAGUACUGAUUUACCUUAUCAGCAAGGGCUCCAUGUUUUAGGUCUGUAGAGGAGGACCUCUUCAUCUUGUUUAUUGCUUGCGUGCUUGAGGUGGCCCUGGAGAUAUGGACCACGAUUGCACCUCCUCUUGCCACACUUGCCUACCUUUGCCUUGAGGUUAUUGGAGGCAUGGUACGGUUCUCCUUUAAGCACAAUGGCCUCCAUGGUGACCUCUGGUUUUGUAGCUAGUCUCCCUUAUGAUUGAAGGGGGCCUCACUGAUAGAAUUGAUGACAUUUGUGCUAGUGGGGACCAUGACAGGCUACUCAAGGUAACUCGGGAGGCAUAUAGGGGGCUAGAAGGUGUUGAGUUUGAGACAAGGAGGAUUGGGAUGGAGAAGAAGAAGAGGGAAGGCCAAGGAAAGCUAUUGCCAAAGAUUACAAACUUGUUUUCAUAAGAGUUGCAACUAGGAAUAGUUUCUAAGUGCUAGCACCACACUAUGGGUCAGAUUAGGUUUCCCAACUAUGGGUUGCCCGACCCCACCUUGGUGGAAACCAAAGUCCACACUUCUCCCUCAACUCUCCCUUUUGUAGGACCACUUUCAAGAUACUUUCAUCCUAUCAAGUAGGGGUCACCCGACCCCUAGUUGUUGGGUACAUAGCAAGUUUGGGUCCUACAAUUUUUAGGUGAUUAGAUGUGGUCUGGCCAUGUUUGAGCCAUAGUGGAUACUAAGUCUGUAACACCCCAGUGUUAUGGUUGCAUCAAAUAAACAUGUGCAUAGCAUGAGCAUCAUCUUUUAUUCAAAGCAUCCAUGAUCAUCAUCUAUCUUGAGACAUGUCAUCCUUUGCAAAAAUGUGUUUUAAAUGGCUUAAAUAGGCUUCCUAUGCUUAUGUUUGAGUGAACAAUGCUUGUGUUUGUGCUUAAUGCCUUGGUAAAUAGCUUAUCUAUGCUUAACUCAAUCUUGGGAACAAUGUUCAUGUUGAUCACUUCUCCAAAAUAAUCACUUAAGUCAUACUUAUUCAAAUAGACCCUAGAAACCUCUGUUGCUUAGGCUUUUAAAAAGUGUCUCAUAAAAUGUUUGCAUGUCAAAACUUCCUACAGCAAAGUUGUAGCAAAUUUUAUAAGGAAGAAAAGUUGUUUUAUGGCCAUCUCAUGAAAAUGAUCACAAAUAGCUCAAAAGUGGCCCACAAGGCAGAUUUGGGGCUGUUUUCAACACUUAGAAAAUUUUCUAAGUCCUGGGUGCUUCGCAGUUUGCUCGAUCGAUUUUGGAAACUCUAUAUCUUUCAAUCCAGGCCGAUCUGGCCUUUGCUCUAGUUGACAAAGUUGUAGAUCUCGCCUAGUACUCCAAGUUUGUCAACUACGCCAUCUCCUAAUUCGCUCCGGUUUGGGAGAUAAUCACCGGUGAAGUCGCUCUGUCAGUCGGCCAAUGCUCUGCCUGAAUCGGGCCUGACCUCGUCGACAUGGCCGACCGGCGGCAGCACAACGGCGACAAUUGGCGCCCGUACGCCGUUCCUGGCCCCGCCUGUCAGCCCUCGUCGCGUGCAUGACCUCCACGGCGACGCCCCGAGCGAGUGGACGCGUCCACUUCGCUCUGCCUCGCCUCCACUCGCCUGAACCUCGCCCGCAGCGAGCUCUCCGCCGCGAGCUCACUCCGGCGAGCUCGUGUGCGCUCCUCUCUACGUCUCCGUCCACCAAACUCCACCCAAAGAUCCGCCGUGAGCCGCUCUCCAAGCUCCACCCUCUAACUCGCCGAGAAACCCACCGGUGAGCCGACAUUUCUUUCUUCCCCCAAAUCGGUCCGCCGUGACCAUCUUCUCUGGCGAACUCAAUGCCGAGCGCUGUGAGGCUUCUCAUCGUCUUUGGUUAGGUCCUAGAGGUAGCUUAGGUCAUUAGCGAGCUUUUGCGCCACCUGGUGGACGCUCUACCGGGUUCUCCGUCGCCGGACACGGUGCGCAGCGCCGCCGUGCUUCCGCCGGAGUUGGGUGCUCUCGUGGCCAGUGCUUUCCACGGGGAUCCAGGCCAAGCCGCGUACCUAGGAAGCUUCGCCCUAGUCUGCUGGUGAUGUAGAAGGCCUUAGGUCACGCUCUACCGGCCUGAGGGCUCCGGCGUAACGCCGAGCACCUCCGCCGAGCCGCCAUUGCCGACGGUGAGCCCCUUCCGGUGGCUCCGCCGCGGCAAAAGUAGGGUCAAUCGAGUCGUUAGGGUUUGGGGAUCACGUUGAUGCCCUGGGUUUGGCCGGAGACCUCGCCGUCGCGGAGAAAUCGCCGGUGAAAGUCGCCUCGGCCGUGAGGAAGAAGAGCCUGACGGGUGGGACCCACUGUCAGCGACUCUCUUUCCCUCCUUUUCUUUUAUUCAAAAUCCUGAUUUUUGGCUUUCUUGCAAAAAUCAUAUCUCCUGUUUCUGAGAUCCAAAAAUUGUGAAACAAAUUUUGUGUUGUUUCUUGAGAUGGCUAGUAUUUAAUAAAAAUAUAAAAUGAAUCAUGUUUUCAGAGAAAUUAUUUAUUAAGGAUUUAAUCUUGUUAUUUAUGGAUAAAUGCAUAUCUCUGGUUUUACUGAUUAGUUUGCUCUAAAAAUUUUAUGGUGGCCUUUGCAUGGCAUUAGAGUGCUCUGAUAAUUAUUUCAUGAUUUUUGGAGCACUGCAGUUGUGAUAUGUAAUUUGUGUUUGAAAUAUGGCUUGUUUCUUUAAUUAAAUCACAUAAAAUAAUUGGUGCUUAGGCUGGUGCUCUAUUUUGGUGGUAGACUUGUUUAUGGUAUUCCUAAGAUAUAAAUAAUCUGAAAUCUGUUGUUUGACACUAUAUAAGUCAUGUCUAUGAAUUUAUGAAAUAAAUGCCUUGAUACAUGUUAAAUGCAUAUCUUUAAUUUGGCAUGUGCAUUGGUCCUGAAAUUUUUAUGGUGGUGAUCUGAUGUUAUCCUUGUGCCUCUGUAAUUUUUGUAGAUUUUUCUGAGCACUUUAACUAAUAUCUUGUAAAUAUGCCUUGUCUAAAAUUAAUUAAUAAAUGCCUUGUUAAGUAAAUUGUUUUGGGGUUUUCAACUGAUGAUCUGGUGACCUUGUAAUAUGUUUGUGCUCAUGAGUCAUAUGGUUGGCAUAGUUUGUGUUUUGAUCAUGUCAUUAAAUAAUUAAGUAUAGGGUUAAAUGCUGUUCUGGACAGCAAGUGAGUAAUUUAACUUUGCUUAAUGAUAACUUGACUUUCUGUGAAACUUGUAUAAAACAAAGUUGUUCUAAACUUAUUGAACUAACUGUGGUUUAAAUUUGAGGUCAUUUGGCCAAGUAGUUUAAAAGUUAUAGCUGUUCCAAGUUGGGUUCCAGAAAUAGGGGCUCUCUGUCUUUCUGGGACAGAACCUGGAACUUUGUUAAAAUGACUAGUUUAAUGUUUGAAUCUUGCUGUCAUGUUUAAAGAUGAAUUGUAGACAAUUUCCUAAGCUUUCCAGAAUGUCCUUACUCAUGUUUGUUGGACCUGUCUAUCUAUAAUUAUGAUUUAUUUACUGAGCAUACUUGUUUUAUGUUGUUUGCUGCUUUAGUGCCAUGAUAGGUUUUGGGUUAUGUUAACUUGUUUAUUCAUGUGAGUUAGUAUAACUCUUACUCCGUAAAUGAGUGCCCAGUGAGUUGCUUGUGUUAUUAAGCAUUCAUCUGUAGCAUGUGCACCUUCUCAUUCAUCGAGCAUGCAAUAGGUGCACCGGACGUGGCAGUUUCCUUCGAGCUCCAAGCGAACCCCGGAGGCCAGGAAGGCAGCCAGGAGGUGGAGGUCCAGCAAGCCGGACUCGAGGAGCCCGAAGAAGAAGUUGAGUGCCCGAAUCACGAGCCGGCAUCGUUCGUGAAAGGAAAGCCCCGGAGCAUUCUAAGCCUCCUCUAUUUUCGAAAGUUUACUUAAUACGUUAUAUCUAUUGAUGCAUUACGUAUAGGAGUUGUGAUGAAAAUGUUGCUGCAUUCUACCCUAUCCUUGUCCAGAUAACUUACCCUCCCCGGUUGUAGAGUUAGGUCCGAGUAGCAGCUUAGUUAUGCUUUAACCGGUAGAAGUCGGGUGAUAUCCUGUCAUCCGCGCGAUAUAGGGUUGUGUCGGGUCGCGAUGGUCUAUAUGUGCUAUCGUGGAUGGAACCUGAUUAAAUUGAUAUAAGCCGGGCGGAGUUUUGCAAGUUUGUAGUGACUCCGUCUGUGGCAGCUAAGGACCGAUCGUUGUACGUCCUCUUGUCAUGUUGAACGCAUGCCUGACACUUAGUUGGCCGGAUAACUCGUUCCGACCGCGAAGCCGAGUAGUAUGACUCAGGCCGGAAGACCGGCAAGUAUAAAGUGCGCACUACCGGAGGAAGUGCGGUGUGCGGGGGACCAUUGGCGUAAGUCCAAAGGCAGGUGAGUUAAAAUUCCUGACCUCCCUGGCAGAGUGGUAGCCCUGGGAGUGCGGCGCUGAUCGGAGCCGCGAUUCCUGAGUUGUACCAAAGGUGACCCAUUGGCUCUCCGGCAGGGGAUGCUUGGGUGAGUGCUAGGAAUAAACCUCCAGCUGGAUAGGAAUUCGAUUCGAAUCGCCGUCUCUCCCGGUUAGUGAGAACUUGACAGAGUAGCGGCAAACGUAGCAUUCACUAAUAAACUUGGUUCAUGAUAAUGAUGAUAGCAAGAAGAACAUAUGAUGAAAUUGAUAUGGUUAUUAUUGUUUGGAAUAAUCAAGUGAUGUGUUGUAGUACAGGUGCUAAUCUAGUGGUAGGCUGGUGAUAAAUAAAUCUGAUGCUCUUAAAAUGACUUAGUGGUAAGUUAAGCUUUCGGCAAAGAGGUGAGUCAACCAGCUCCACUUAAAAUUCAGCCUUGCAUGAUCCUUGGUGUCUUUUAUGUUUUACUAGACGGGUAAGUCUAGCUGAGUACAUCCUCGUACUCAGGGUUUAUUCCCACCUGUUGCAGAUGAUAUCUUCUAUGACGGUUUCUGCAAGACCUGUCUCCAUCCCGCUGGGGAUGAGGACUAACCGUUGGGCACGGUUCUCUAAUCUUCUCGUCUAUGAUGCUUUUGAGAGGAUGACCUAGACUCUGGCAGUAACAAACUUGUGAACUGAACUUUGAACAAGUGUGUGUACUUAUUUUGCUUCCGCUACUUCGAACAAGUGUUGUAAUAACUUAAUACUCCGAUGUGGUGCCGCUUCGACGGCAAUGAAUGACUAUGUAGCAUCCGUUGUAUUUAUGUUGAACUAUUACGAUCUUGGUUUGUUGCGAGUUGGUUUGAAGUCCUUCGUGAUUUCGAUUGACUACCGGGAUUAUAUGGGCUCAAGUUUAGAAACUUGAUUGUUUGACGAUCGUUUCUGCACUUGAACUCUUAUAAUUUGGUCGGUUCUGUGACAAAGUCCAGGUUGCUCGACCCCAGUUUUGAAGUUCUAGAGCGAAUAGGUUCUGGGUUUGUACUUCCCCACAUGCCAUAGAUGGUUUGGCUAAACAUAGGCUUGGUUAGCUACUAAGAUGGGGUCGCCCGACCCCAUAAUGGAGGCUCCCCAAGACUAGUUUUGUUUUAAGGACUAACAUAAGUGUAUUCAUGAUAUCCUAAAAGCCAAUCCACACAAAAUAUAUAAAAGAAGUUAAGACAUGUAGAUUUUAGUCUUGUUGAAUCAUUAGCAAGGAUGUGUUCUAGCAUGUCAACUUCUUCUAUCAAGGAUCAAACUUCUAGAAAACUCUUAAGAAGGUGGCCACUUACCUCGAAGAUGAUGAGUCAUAGCAUUGGCGCUUCUUAGUUGCAUCAAAGUUCUCUUUUUGGUUACUACCACUUGCUACAUUAUUCUAGGAGGGUGAGUGCUCUGAAAAAAGUGAAUAUGAGGGAAUAAAAAGGGGCAAGUGCCCAGAACCUCGAAGGAAAAAAAAGUGAGACGAGAGGUAAAAAUGGACAAGUGUCCGACAGUAGAAUUAGGGGUACAAGAUACCCACCUGAGAGAAAAAAAAGAAAAUAUAGAGCAUUUGAUUCUCCUCAAAAAAGCUUCAAAGUGCAAGAGAGGUAUGUAUCCCCUAAAAAGAGCAAAAGUAGAAUUAGACUUUCACCAUUGUUAUCACCAUCAUCACCAUACACCAUUCAUUCGUCACUCAUGCACAUCUUGAUUUGACUUAUUGACUUGUUUCUCUGGAUCUAUGGUUUGACUAUGCAAUAAAUGUCUUGUAAGUAUGUACUAUCUAUCUCCCACCUAUGAGCUCCAGAUAUCAACACCUUAUUAGAGUAUGGUGAGAGAGAAGGCAAUAUCACUAUGCCUCAUACCAAAAAUACCACAUACUUUGAGAGAAGGCAUAUACCAUUAUUGCCUUGGAAAGGAUCCAGAAAUACCACAAAAGAGAGAUUUGAGAGAGUCAUACAAGGAAUCUCUGAGUUUUAUUUGAAAAUUUGCAAAAACUCGAGAGCUAUAGUUAAUCAAAGAACAAGAGACAUGACACUUGACUAGACUGUUCUAUCUUUUAACUGCUCAAGACACAAGUGAUGGUUGCAAGCCCCAUGGUGAAAGGUAAAAUGAGUAAGUUUUAAGUCUUAACAGUUUACUCUAACUCAGAGAUGAGAUCUUGCUUGAACGCAUGUGUACUUUUAAGGCAUGAAACCACUGUAGAAACUCUUGAGUCCAUCCUUGCUCAGGGACGAGCAAGAGGUAAGCUUGGGGGAGUUUGUUAACGGUCCUUAAGUACCAAAUAUAAUCAUCAAAUAAAUAAAGAAAAGGAUCCAAAUGCAACCAACACCCAGACUUAGAGUUUUAUCUGACCGAAUUCCACGAGUUUUGGUGUUUGUCUAUUUCUGCAGGGGGUUAUCAGGAAAUAUGGAGGAAAGGCCCACACGUCGGGUUUACAUAGAGAUAUUAACGUGUCGCGCAAUUUUCUAUCAUCUAGAAGACUCCAGAAGCCACGAGAAUGAACGGGAGGCCGAGCGGGCCCGGGGGCAGGGCGCCCGCCCUCCCCCCUUGGGCGCCCGCCCAGGUGUCUCAACCAUUCACGUUCAAUCUAGCGGAUUAUGCUCCACCGACCUAAAGGAUCAAGGAAAACUGUGGCGAUUAAUGUCGGUUUGAUUCGACGGCCCAUAUUCAUUUGGAGGGGGUAUAUAAGCAAGCCCCCUGGCCCCUAGAGGAGGCAAUCCCCAUUAUUCAUUAGCAUAUUUUCCAGAGAGGAUUCAGAGAGAGAGGUUCCUUAGGGUUCCAACCUCAUAGGGCUUAGCAUCCAAUGUGAGAGUAGAAUUAGUUCUACUAGAUUGAGAGAGAUAGAGUGGAGGUGUAGAUCGGAGGAAGCCCGGCCUAUCGGUGGCUACUCUGAGGUUGUACCUACGGGAUCAAGUCUCCUAACCUGAGGCUUGCUCCUAAGAUUCUUCAAAAUUUUGACUUCUAAAUUCUAGUAAGUUCUUUGUUCUAUUUCUUUGGUUUAUGAGUUUACUUUGAUCUCUUCAUGUAGAGUUUGGAGUAAUCAUCUCUAGCGUAAACGUGGUGUUUGGGCUAGGAUACUCAUAGAUAUCCCCUGUCUAGCCGGACCGUGGUAGUAGCGAGGAACGUGACAUUUCUGAGUUACCUUUGUAGCCCAUAAUCCCGUUAGUAGGAUCGAUAGGGUUUAUAGGUGCGGGUCGAACAUCCUUUGUGGUGUCUAGAUUCCAUGAGCCUCCCCAACAGAAUAGUAGAUCAUCCUUACCAAGGUUAGAACGAGAAUGCGGUUGUAGUCUUUUCUAUACAUCACUCACAUCGAGUCAUAGUGGUUGUAGCCUAAUGGGUAGUAGCAAUAGAUUUGGUUAGUUGGAUGCACGCUUUCUCCCAGUGGUAAAAAUAUAAAUACGAUACUCUGGAUAACCUCCUGGGUGAAGUGCUCACCGAUAUCCGUGCGAUUGCAGAUCAUUUCCUAAUGGCAUUAACAAAUAUCAACACUAGCCACAUAUAAUAAUGAUAAGCACCUCAACAGAUAUUCUAGCAAGUCAUUAGCAUAGAAUUAGGAUGAACUACAAGAAUAUUUCCUAAGUUAUUCUUAACUAUAAAGUCUAGCAUAUCAUAGUUAGUACAAUUAUAGUUGUCAAUCAUUGCGAGACAGGACUACGCCCAUGCAUACCGAUAUUAUCAAGGAAGAUGAGAAACAUAGCAAUCACUCCCCUGUAAUAAUGUUGCUCUGCCUGCCCUAUACACGAGAGGGGGACUAUAUAAGAAUCAAUGGAGCUGUCACUACCAUGAACUACCCCGUGAUCCGGCAUAUAGGAACAAUGAUAAUUGGAGCUGUCACUACCAUAGAACAAUAGAGGAAUUACCAAGAAUCCUCUUGACAGAUCCGGAAACCAAUCGAAGAUUGACUCCUUCUAGUUCUAAUGAUAUAUAGCUAUGCUAAACUAGAUAUCUAGUUGAUGUGGUGGCUCUAGGGCUUGAUUAGAGACUUCUUCUCCUGAGAUGGAUGAAUGAAUUAGGGUUUCUAAGGUCCUCUCCUCCAGGGGCCAGGGGUCCUACUUAUAUAGUCCUUCCAAAUGAAUAUGGCCGUCGGAUCAAACCGACCUUAAUCGCACGGUUUUCCUUAAUCCCUUUGGUGAGUGGAGCAUGAUCCGCGAGGCAGAGCCUGAUUGGCUCUCAAGCGCCCUGCUCGUUCCCGUGGCUUCUGGACUCUUCUAGAUGUUGGAUAAUUGCACGGCACGUAAAUAUCUCUAUGUAAACCCGACGUGUGGUCCUUUCCUCCAUAUUUUCUGAUACCCCCCUAUAGAAAUAGACAAACACCAAAACAAGUGGAAUUCUGUCAGAUAAAACCCUUAGUCUGGGUGUCGGUUGCAUUUGGAUCCUUUUCUCUAUUUAUUUGUUGAUUAUAUUUGAUACUUAAGGAUCAUCAACACCUCCUAGGGUGCUAUUUCAGUGGCAGGUGGUAGUGGAGGUGGUACAAAUGCAUGUGAGUGAUAAUGUGAAUUUUUGGAUGGUGGUGAGUGAUGUGAUUUGAUGUGAUGUGUCUAGGUUCCACAUGUCUCCCAUAUUUAUACCAUAUAAUGACGCAAGGAUGAAAAAAUAAAUUACUUCUAUGAAUCUAUGAAAAAUUAGAAUCCAAAUGAUAGUAUUUUUAUAAUUUUCUGCCACCACAGUAAAUUUCACUGACGGGGGUUUUUACACUCUGUCAGUAGUAAUCACAUGGGGAUUUAAACUUUAAUUAUGACAUGCUUACUUUUAUUUUCUUUUAAUAAUGCAACUUGUGAAAAUAAAUAUGCUAAAAAUUAAUGCGAGAAUUUAAUUACUGAUAACUACUGAAUUACCUCCCGGUGAAGGUUUGGGGUUUUUAAGUCCACCGACUUGGACUUCUCCAGUUGAAUUAUUCUUUAUGAGUGCUCUCCACUGUCGGAGAUGUUGACGCAUCUUGAUCUUCUUGAUUAUUUAGAGUCUUGAAUUGCUCGGGUCUUGGCCUAAAUGCGAAUCGCUCUUCUUGCCGAUUAAUGGUGAAUAUUAUUUCUCCAGCUCCAACGUUGAUGGUUGCAUUUGCAGUGUUUAGGAAUGGUCGCUCAAGGAUAAGAGGUAUCUUCCUGUCUUCCUAAAUGUUAAGUACCACAAAAUCUAUAGGAACAAAAAAGUCAUGGAUUCUUACCGAAAUUUUGUCUUCUAUCCCUGCAGGGUAGCGGUCUGAUUGGUCAGCUAGUUGCAAGCACAUUGUUGUUGGAGUGAGCGUGGAAUAGUCGAGUUUGUCGAAGACUAUCUUGGGCAUAACACUGACGCUUGCAAUAAGAUCACAAAAGGUGUUCUCGAACAUCUGGUUGCCUAUAGAAUAAUCUAUAGUGGGACAUCCUAGGUCCUUCUUCUUGAUGGGAGAAGAACGUAGGAUUGCUUCAUUACAUGCCUUUGUUAGCUUGAUGACUUCAGUCGACGGGAGUGGUCCUUUGUUCUCUCCAGCUUCUUUGUCUACCUGCACUAAAUGUGAAGGUCUACGUGCCCCUUCUGGGUAAGGUGGAUCACGUGUAACCUUACCUCCUCUAGUAGAUAUUCCUUUAAUCUGUUCAUGGUUAGUGGCAGACAAAAUAGAGGCUAGAUGUGUAAUUUGUGAUUCUAUCUUUUUAAUGAACAUUAUUUGUUCUUUAAUUGCUAGAGAAAAAUUAUCUAAUUUUGAAUUAAUUCCUUCUAACAUUUCAUCAUUAAAAGCAAGCUUCUUAUAAAGACUCUCAUUAAUUCUAGCUUGUUCUAAUAUUAAUUCUCUUAAGGGUGGUUGUCUCUGAUUUGAAUUGAAAUCAUUUUGAUACUUACCUUGGUUUGCUGCCUGAGGUUGACUCCAUCCUUGUUUCUUGGAGAUUGCACUGAUAUCUUCUUCAUGUUGAUCUUGAGAAUUGAAUGUAUCUUGAAGGGCUUGACAAUUUCUUUUAUAAUUAUCCCUCUGCUCUAGCCAACUCAAUAAAACAUCCAUCUUGGUUGAUAAUGCACACAACUCCUCUGGAACUUCUUCACUUUCAUGGCAUGUCUGAGUGUUGAAUGUCCAAUUCUGAUUUUCUGCCAUCUUUGCCAUAAUAGCUUCAGCUCUUCUAGGGGUGAGUGACAUAAAUGAUCCUUCAGCAGUGGCAUCUAAUUGCUCACAUGACCUUUGAGUUAGUCCAUAAUAGAAUGUCUGCAUGAGCAACCACUUCUCCAUUCCAUGAUGCGGGCAGUCUGAUAUGUAUCCUUGAAAAUGCUCCCAUGCUUUUGGAAUAGGUUCACCUUUCUGAUGAUGAAAUUCUGAAAUCUUCCCUCUUAAGAUAUUUGUUCGGCCUAUUGGGAAAAUCUUCUAUAGCAAAGUCUUUGAACAUUCUCUCCAUGUCUUGAAUUGAAUUUUACUCUGAUAAAAUCACUGCUUUGCUCUUCCCUCUAAUGAGAAAGGAAACAAGUGAAGUAGCACGACAUCUUGAGGAAUGUCUUGAAUGUCAAUGGUAUUGCCAAUCUCCAGAAAAUUCUGCAAAUGUGCAAUGGCAUCUUCAUCCUUCUUUCCACUAAAUAUGAUAAGUUGCGCCAUCUUGAUAAGGCUUGGCUUGAUCUCAUAAUCAUAUUCUCCAAUGUCAAAAGUUGGACCUACGCGAAUAUUCUCAGUGCUUGGAGAAGAGAAUUCAUGUAGAGUCUUCUCAGCCAUCGCUUCUCAAAAUGAUGUAAGACCCUUCUUCCUAUGGUUGUUCAUGAUAAGAGUUAAAAUACUACAACCAAUCUUGCUCUUACCCUAUAAAGAAUUGCUACAUAAAACAUGGGUAAGUCUGCUAAAGCAAAACACUAUGUCCUAAGAUAUUUAAAUGUUGAUUUCCUAUGGAUGGUUCUAUGAAAGAUUUAGUUGUAUGAAAUUCUAGAAAGUAUAAAUUUUGGCUAAUCAGUAAAUCCUUUUAAAGUAAUCCUAAUAAAUAAAAUUGCCUUCCCUGGCAAUGGCGCCAGAAAUGCUUGUUGGUAUUUUUAGCAUUACUUCAUAUUAAGUUGUCAUCCCUAACAUGAUGCCAAAAACCAAGGAUAAAAAAUAAUCUACAAUCAAUAACUCUAAAUAGAAUAUAUCCACAAGCGCACAGAUAAUUCUCCCUUUGUAGCAUUUCACCCAGGAAGUAUUCCGAGUAUCGUUGAUUUAUUUUAUGCCAAAAGGAUAAAACAGCAUUCUAUUUAUUAGGCUUAGGUGAUCUUGUAGGAACUAAAUAAAUUAUAAUUAUGUAAAUCUAUCAUAGCCAAUAGGAUUAAUACUUAGCGAUAAAUAGUCAAUAAUAUGAUAAAUGAUAAAUGGUAAUUGAGUAAUGAAGUAAAUGGUAUCCCAGAGAUAGAAAAUAAGGACUCACAAUGUAGCAAGACAAUCUUGAUAUUCAAAUAAAUAAAACAAACCUAUGUAAUUACUAAUAUAAAGUCUACAGCCUACGCCAUGCUACACAUUUUCAUCUAUAGUAUGAUAAACUCAGAAAACAUCAUAAGGAGCAUCAACUAAUGAGGAUUUUAAGACGCAACUGUUGUCACAGAACCGACCAAAUUAUAAGAGUUCAAGUGUAGAAACGAUCGAUCUAGCAAUCAAGUUUCCAGACUUGAGCCAAUAUAAUCCUGGUAGUCAACCGAAAUCACGAAGUACUUCAAACCAACUUUGCAACAAACCAAGAUCGUAAUAGUCCAACACAAUACAGCGAAUGUUACAUAGUUCAUUCAUUACUGACGAAGCGGCACCACAUCGGAGUAAUUAGUUAUUACAACACAAGUUCAAAGUUGCGGAAGCAAAAUAGUUUACACACGCACACAUUUCAUCAGUUCUUAUUACUGCCAGAGUCUCAUCUCAUCCACCAAAAUCAUCAGGGUACGAAGCUAGAAUGAACACGAUAAAAGACUUCAUCUGCAAUAGGUGGGAAUAAACCCUGAGUAUGAGGAUGUACUCAGCUAGACUUACCCGUCUAACCAAACGUAAAAGACACCAAGGAUCAUGCAAGGCUGAGUAUAAAGUGUAGCUGACUUGACUCAACAUUUGCCAAAAGCUUAGAUGGGAUAACACAACAUUUGUAAAAGCAUCAUAUUGAUUAACAUUAACCUGCCACUAGAUUAGCACCUACGCUAAGCACUUCACUUGAUUAUUCUUGACGGUUCUUAAGUAUCAAUUUUAAUUAUCAAAUAAACAAGAGAAAGGACCAAUAUGCAAACAACACCUAGAAUUAGGAUUUGAUCUGACACAAUUCCACGAGUUUUGUUGUUUAUCUGUUUCUAUGGGGGGUUAUCAGGAAAUAAGGAAGAAAGGCCUACAUGUCAGGAUUACAUAGAGAUAUCAACGCACCGCGCAAUUUUCUACCAUCUAGAAGACUCCAGAAGCCACAGGAACAAAGCGGAGGCCGAUCAGAACUCUUUUCGCGGACGACGCUCCUGUUGGCAUAUCUUAACGUCAUCACUAAGAAUAGGGUUUAAUCCAUCCUCAGCAACGAUGUCAGAAAUGUCGUCAUAAUACUUACUAAUGCAAUCACCAAGAUUAGAGUAUAAAUCUAUCCUAAGCAACGGUGCCAGAAAUACUUGUUAGCGUUUCUUAGCGUCGCUACCUAGAAUAGGGUUCUGCUCUACUCAUGAUAAUGACAUUGGCAGUGUUAUAUUGACAGAUCCGUAGCAUCAUCACCUUGAAUAGGAAGCUAGAUCUACCUUCCCGAUAACGGUGCCUUAUUACCGUUAGGGUAGGGUUCCUGUUCUUAAUCAUGGUAGUGGCACUAGGAUUGCCAUGUUGGUAUUCCUUAACAAGUCACUAGCUCGGCGCAUGUCUAGCAACAGUGUUAAGUAUAUACCGGGGUGAUAGUUCCUUAGGUUUGGAGUUUAAGUACCGCAAGUGGACGGGAAUUAUCGUGUACAUUUCAACCCGGGGAUUUACCGAGUGUCGUAUUUAUAGGUUCGCUCUAAGGAAGGCUUAAUAUGUUAAGGAUUCUAAGGUAAGCAUAGAUCAAAAUAAUUAUGAUAGCAAUAAUGGAAUCAAAGGUCAUAGCAGGUGAUAAACAUUUAUAUGUAGAAUAGUGAUCCAUCACAAUCUAGGCAUGGCAUAUGGGCUAAGGAAUAAAAAGAGACUAAAAGAAUGAAUUGAAUCAAAGAAUAAACAAACAACCUAUUGGAGCAGGUGUGGUCCUAGAUGUUGGGUAUUCUUAACAUCAUUACCAAAAGUAGACUAAGUUCUAAAUCUAGCAACGGUGCCAAAAAUGCCAAACCUAUCCCUCACACCACUUAAGCCAAGUUGUCAUCCCCAGCAUGACAUGAGAGACGCGGUAUUGAAAUAUGCAAUUGCUCUUCUAAAUAAAUAAUGAAUGGGAUCUGCAAGCGCACAGAUUAAUAUCGAUGUAGCAUUUUAACCGGGAAGUAUUCCAGGUAUCGUUAUUUAUAUUUUUACCACUGGAAAGGGAUUAAUCAAUCAUCACUAUUGAUUACAGAAUAGAAUAUGAGAUUGAGUAUCUAUCAUUGCAUGUAUAAUUGAGAACAUUAUAUCUAACUCUUCAUACAGGGAUAAGUGUCACAUAAAAGAUAUAUGAAAUGAUAAUAGUGACAAGGAUAACUAAUCUGAUCUAGCCACAUAAUAAAUAUGAUAAGCACCUCAAUUAGAUACUCUAGAAAGUCAUUAGCAUGGUAUUAGAACGAACUACAAGAAUAUUCCCUAAGUUAUUCUUAACUAUAUAGUCUAGCAUAUCAUAGUUAGUGCAAGCAUACUUAGCAAUCAUUGCGAGACAAGACUACGCCCAUGCAUAGUGAUAUUAGCAAGGAAUAUGAGAAACAUAGCAAUCACUCCCCUGUAAUAAUGUUGCUCUGCCAGCCCAAUACACGAGAGGGGGACUAUAUAAGAAUCAAUGAAGCUGUCACUAUCACGAACUACCCCACGAUCUGGCAUAUUGGGUACAAUCGCAGAUAAAUACGGUAUAAGCACCACGCCUACACAAUAUCUAUCGUUUACCCAUGGAUCCGAUGGAUAAACGCUAUACGAUCCUAAGCAUGUAUAUAGAUCGUAUCUAACUAAGCCAAGUACAUAACUAUGACAAACUAGGAACAAUAUAAUCUUGAAUAUAAGCAAAUAGAGCAAAGUCAUAAGCAAUAUAUUGAAGUAGAACAAAGUCAUAUUCAUAAUAUUGAAGAACAAAGAUAAUUAGAAAGCAAUUAAAAGCACAAUUAGAGAAUUACCAAGAAUCCUCCUGACAGAUCCGGAAACCAAUCGAAGAUUGACUCCUUCUAGUUCUAAUCCUAUGUAGCUAUGCUAGUCUAGAUAUCUAAUUGAUGUGGUGGCUCUAAUCUUGAUCAGAGGCUUCUUCUCCCUUGAUGGAACAAUGAAUUAGGGUUGAGAGGCUCUCUCCUCCAGGGGCCAGGGGGUCUGGUUUUAUAGUCCCUUCAAGUGAAUAUGGGCCCUUGGAUCAAACCGACAUAGAUUGUAUGGUUUAGAUUCAUCCUUUAGGUCGGUGGAGACUUCCCGCAAAGCAGAGUCCUGAUUGGACUCAGGGGCAGGGCGGGCGCCCUGACCAACUGGGCGGCCGCCCAGGGUCUAGCCCCGUUUUGCCUCCGCUUCGGUCUCGUGGCUUCUGGAGUCUUCUAGAUGUAAGAUAAUUGCGCAGCACAUUAAUAUCUUUACGUAAUCCUGACAUGUGGGCCUUUCUUCCAUAUUUCCUGAUAACCCCCUACAGAAAUAGACAAACACCAAAACUCGUGGAAUUCUGUCAGAUAAAACCCUAAGUCUAGAUCUUUAUUUCAUUUGGAUCCUUUUCUUUGUUUAUUUGUUAAUUAAAUUUGAUACUUAAGGACCGUCAACAAACUCCCCCAAGCUUACCUCUUGCUCGUCCCUGAGCAAGGAUAGACUCAGCUAUGGAUCAGAAGUUGCUGCAAUAUCUUUAAAAAUUUGACGGUACACAUGCUCUUAAAUAAGAUCUCAUCUCUGAGUUAGAGUAAACUGUCAAGACUUAAAACUUACUUACUUUACCUCCACUAUGGGACUUGUAACUGUCACUUCUGUCUUGAGUGGUUAAAAGAUAGAACAGUCUAGCCAAGUGCCAUGUCUCUUAUUCUUGAUCAGCUAUAGCUCUGGGAUUUUUGCAGAUUUUCAAAUAAAACUCAGAAUUCCUUGUAUGAUUCUCUCAGGUCUCUCUUUUGUGGUAUUUUUGGAUCCUUACCAAGGCAUUGAUAGUAUAUGCCUUCUCUCAAGAUAUGUGGUAUUUGUGGUAUGAGGCAUAGUAACAUUGCCUUCUCUCUCAUCCUACUCUAAUAAGGCUUUAAUAUCUGGAGCUCAUAGGUGGGAGAUAAAAUAUACAUACUUACAAGACAUGUAUUGCAUAGUCAAACCAUGGAUCCAAAGUAACAAGUCAAUAAGUCUAAUCAAGAUGUGCAUGUGUGGCGAAUGAAUGGUAUAUGGUGAUGAUGGUGAUAACAAUGGUGAAAACAAUGGUUGUGAAAGUCUAAUUCUACUUUGCUCUUCUGAGGGGAUACAUACCUUCCUUGCUUUUGAAACUUUAUGAGGAGAAUGAGAUGCUCUUCUUUUUCUUUUCUCUCAGGUGGGUAUCUUGCACCCCUAAUUCUACUGUCGGACACUUGUCCAUUUUUACCUCUCGUCUCACUUUUUCUUUUCUUUCGAGGUUCCGAGCACUUGCUCCUUUUUAUUUCCUCGUAUUAUUCUUCUCUCUCUCUUUUUUUAGAGCAUUCAUCUCUUGAGAUAAUAUAGCAAGUGGUAGUAACAAGAUAACUUGAGCAUUUAUUUCACAAGGGGAAAACAGAAAAUAUUUUUGGUUAUUCUCUCCCGGAUUAGGAGUAGAAUAUUUUCAGGUGGUUCUGGAGAUGGAAUGGGUGGAUAUAUGUGGAUGGUACUUCCGGAGUAGAAGUAGCAUAUAUGAGUGAACGUGCAAGUGAAAUCUUGAUUUAACCACAUGACAAGCUCCUAAGGGUCUACACAGCUUGACCACACUCAAUGCUCAUAAGCAGUAAAUAAUAAAUGUGUGGCUCAAGGUCUAGCAAGCAUGUAUAUAUGGCUGUGGUAGGAAUUUAAGCUCUCAUCAUACAGGAACUCAUCAUGCAACAUUUUAAAGAUUUUCAAAGAUAAAUUCUCCAGAAUUCUAGCAUCUCUAGGAACAGAUAAACAGCAGCUCAACCUUCCUAUAUCGUAUCCGUUAACAACUUAGACUUCAGAUCAAGUUUUCAUCCCACAAGUUUAGGUCUAGGGCAAGCUUUAAAUUAUAACAGUUAUGUCUAAACUUGAGAGAGAACUUAAAAUGUGCAAAUUAGGCAGAGCAACUAUUCAUCAUAUCCAUGCUUAAGUUUUAUUAGAUACAGAUUAGCAUAGCCACUUUAUUUAUUAAUUAAACACACUAAGUAAUAUAUAUAAGCAUAAAAUCUUUAUUUGGUUUUCCCAUAGUUUAUGUGUAUUAAUAUUCUAAAAUAAAUAUAAAGAUAGAUAGAUAGAAAUACUUAUUGAGAUAAAUGGGGGUGCUCUCCCCCAAGCUGAAUUUUGACGUAAUUUCUCUUGAUGUAGCUAGCAGGUGGCAGAGGUGUAUUUGAAAGCAGCAUUCUGACAGCGAUUAGAAUGUCCUCUAUCUGCUAGUCUUCUUGAUUCUUAAAUUCUGUGGAGCUCAAAUAGACAACAAAGCUUGUGGAACUGAUUAAGUGUUAGCAUAAAUAUCUAGCCUUUAUCAUCUUGAGACUCCUUAAUUAUUACUCCCUGUUUUUAUAUUUUUAUUUUUAUAAAGCAGAAAAAAUAUUUAUUUUAUUUUUAUGCCACCACAGUGAAUGUACGUAUGGGUUUUAUGCCGCUCGUCUAUUCACAUGGGGCUUACUAUUUUUCACAUUUUUAUUUUCUUUUAUUUUUUUUAGAUAGUAUGAAUAUGAUUAACUAAGUAAACUAUUUAAAAUAAUUGAAAGGGAAAGGAUAACUACCAAGUUUACCUCUUGGCAAGGCGUUCGGUGUUUUUAAGUCCUCCGAACGGGAGUCUCCAAUUUCUUAAUCGUCCUGAGGUUCGUUGGGUGGCGUAGUCGGUACUUCCGGCAGCGCCUCCUCUUCUUGUAUAGUUAUCUUCAUUCUCCACACCUGACUCGGUGCUUCAACCUCCUCUGGAUAAUUCUGUUUAAAUUCAACGUCUUCUGACCUUACAACUUCUCCUUCAUAGUCUGCCCAUCCGUCCUUAAUGAUCUGCCUCCUCUGGUUGCGGUUGCGUCUCUUUCUUACCUGCUUAGAUUCUUCAAUGAUAUAGUUAGGGUCAGUAAAAUAACAGCGUACCUUCUCUGAGGGGAAGUGCAUAUGGACUUCUCCGGUUCCAAUGUAGAUAAUGGCUUUAACGGUGCUGAGGAACGGUCUUCCAAGGAUGAUGGGUGGUUUAUACUCGUCUUCUCCCAUAUCAACAACUUGAAAGUCUGUGUAGACAAAAUGAUCGUCUAUUUUGACUGGGACAUCAAAUACUAUUCCUUGAACUUCUCGAAAUGUCUGAUCUGCCAUCUGGAGCUGAAUGUAUGUUGGUCUUAGUGGCAUGGUCCCGAACAAGAGCCGAUAGGUGACUGCGGCCAUUAUGUUGACGCCUGAUCCGGUGUCGCAAAUCGUCUUAUAGAAGUUGUAUCCAUUUAUGGAGCAGUAAAUGCUUGGCAUUCCUGGGUCGUCCUUCUUAUUCAAAAACGGUGACUUCAGUUGGUGAUCUUGGUCUCCAUGGACUACAGUGACCAUCUUAGCUGACUCGGUCCACACUUGCUUGUUCCUGUUCCUCCUGUUGGUCCUCUUCCUUGAUUGACGUCUGGAUUGAUUUGGAAUUUGUGUAGUCUUGUUUUUGAAGAAAAAUGUCUCCUUCUUCCCUUUGACGUAGAAACUGAUCUUGGCAGCACUGGCGUAGAUGAUAGCUCCCGUGGUGUUCAAGAAUGGCCUCCCUAAGAUGAUAGGUGCUCUCUCAUCAUUUCCGGUCUCUACCACUACGAAGUCUGCUGGGGCAUACAAGGUACCAACUCGGACACAAAGGUUCCUCACUAUUCCUUUUGGAAAAGUUAUCGUCUGAUCUGCAAACUGCAAACACAUGGUUGUCUCUAAUAAAGGAUAUGUAAAGAAUUUUUCAUAGAGUACCCUGGGUAUAAUGUUGACACUGGAGCCAAAGUCACAGAGUGCUUCUGGGAAGUCCACCAUGCCGAUGGAUAUCGGGAUGACGGGGCGUCCUGGAUCGCCUCUCUUGACCGGCAGACGGUCAGUAGAAAAUUCAUUGACGGGGUUACUCCAAUUACCUGCAUCAAACACGUCUACAAGAUUUGC